AGCCCUGCCAGCUCACUCUCCGAGACACGAAGCAAGGCACCCCUGUUUGUUGUUGAUGUAUGCUAAUGCGCCACAUCCAUCUGUUCGUUUGCUUAAUUUGGAUUUUGCUUGUUUGUAGCGAUGUUCCUGCCCCUCCUACUCCACCAUCUCCUCCCCUUGUCCCCCCCAUCCACACCUCCUGCAUCUCCUGUUCCUCCUCCCUCUACCUCCUCUCAAUCUCUUCCCUGCUGCUCAGACAUCAGGCACUUGUCUGCAUGGAUCGCAGCCAGCUCUCGUGCGGUCAGGGUGGGGGGAAAAGGAGGGUCCGCCGCCCCCUUCCUGUGGGUAUGCAAAUUGGCCUUGUUUUGAUUAAAAGACAGCUGCAUAUUUCAUUGAAGUCACCGGUGGAGGUGGGUGAGGAGAAGUCAUUCCUCUCUCGGGAGGCUGAGAUAUUUUAGCUGGAGUGAAUGUUGUGGGAGCUGCUGUUUAGUGCUGCUAAGGGGAACAAAUAGCGAAGACAAAAGGGCUGCCCAGGGACUGCUUUGGGGUUUAAUGGGGCUGACUGACUGGCACAUCAGUUAAGGCUCACACUGAUGCAGAGCGUGUGAAUGUGCGUUGCAUGAUAACAGGAGCAAUUGACAAUGAAAUAUAGACCCCCAUGAGCCUUCAAGGUGCUUUGGCAUGCCAACAGUGUUGGAUUGCUACCCUCCAGUGCCAGGCUGCUGAAGAAACAGAGCUCACCACUCCAUAUAUGGAUAAUAAAAAGAUGUUUGUCUCCGUAUGUGACCAUCUUUUAUUUUAUGUGUAGUUCCCAUGAGGACUGGGUCCAUCACCCCCUCAACAGAUCUCUACAGUUGAGAUAAAUUUAAGAUUACACCAAGGCCAGCUCUGUUCUAGCAUGUCAGUGUUGGCUGCCGGCUGAAUGCUCAAGUGAAUAAACUGAUGAAUGGAUUAUGUUUCCUUAGUGUUAUUUGUGACGAGCAAGAAGACUAUCUUUCUCCUUCCAUGUCAUUCUCUUUCCUUUACUGGUUGAGGGCAACAGUUACCCCACCAGAGGUAGAUUAGGGUGAUGUAUUGGUGGGUGGGCACGCUAUGAGGUCAAGGGGUGGGGAUAAGAAAGAUGGGGGAGGAUCUCCUGGCUUCAAGCCAACUCCAGUGAAAUUCAAAGACAUGGAAAAGGAUGGGAGGAUGGAAUGAUGGUCGCUCUGCAUAAUCAAUCAGAAACAAGAGAGGAAGAGAGCCAGUGAUUCUGCCUUUCUUGACAGGCCUGAUUGUAUUUAUGCAGGGCUGAGAGCGAGGAGGGAAUGCUAUUAAGGAGAAUUGGGGUAGUAAGAUGUGGGCAGGUGCAGGGAGAGCUGUAAUGGGUGGCCCCCGCUGCAAAGCCAAGGACAUAUACCCAAGAGGAACUGAUUGAAUGCCAUGCCAAUAAAAGGAGGCAGUUUCAUGCACCAUUGACCGAGUUGGCAUCCUAGCAGCCACACUGCAAUGAAACCUCCUUCGAGGUCAUGAUAAUGUGAAUCACAUUUCGUUCCUCUGUGGGCUGUCCUCCUCCUGAGAGAGAAUUAAAUGUAAACUUCUCUCCGGAUUUUUCUCCUCUGUUUCUGUUACAGUUUGUGGCACACAUUUGAUGUUAUGCCAAUAUGAGGAGAUACAAAUCAGAUUGUUUGUUUGGGCAGAAAUGAAAAAAUGAAGUUCCAAUUCACAAUAGGUGGGGAAAAUAAUCAGAUUUAAGCCUGCAGUGCGCGUACAGCCGGGGGAGAUUGUCCUUUCAUUUUCUCAUACGUGGGGCAGCGCGCUCCUGAGGUUGUCUUGUUUCUUCUCAGUCAUGAACUUUUUUCUGUCAUAAUUACAUUCAGCCUGGAAGCCUGUAUGCCUCGAAGACAAAUAUAGUAUAUUGACAAGAGAAAAACAGUCAAACGCUGUUGAGCUGGUUUAUUUUAAGCUUCUGGAGUAUAUCUCAACAUUGAAAAAUGUGUGGAGGUAGCUUCAUAUUUAUUAAAGGACCAGACCUUUGUAUAUUAUAAGCUGCUUUUUCACAUUCCUUUGCUGCAGUCAGUGUUUUGCCAACUGAUGACCCAAAAUGUAUGAAAUUGUAUCUUGUGAUUUAAAUUUUAAGGUGAUUACUUGUAUCAUCAUUUGAGCUAAUUUCUUUUCCUUCAAAAUAGGGCUGUACGACACUGAAAAGAUAUAGAAGCGUAGAGACAAGAGAAGUAGAGAAAACAGAUGGAGCAACACUUAACUGCAUAAACAAAUGCAGUUGACUUACUACACAUUGUAAGUUAACUAUAGCUAUAUAGCUAUCCUAGCUAUAUCGAGGAGUUAACCUUGAUAACGAUAAAUGGACGAUAACUACUCCACAAGCUGCUCACCCCCUCCUACAUUAACUUUGUCUAGGGACAUGAGACCAUAGCCUACCUACACACAUCCAAAACCAACUUUUAUUUUCUGUUUUGACACUGAAUAUAUUGACUUGGGCAAAAUGACGUUGGUUAUUGUCAUAAAUUUGGGUUUAUCGCCCAGCCCUAAACUGACAUACAAAUGCAGACACUCAAGCACACAUGUAACCCUGUGCAGGCAGGAAGAACCUGCAUUGAAGUGAUUUCAGGUAGAUGUUAUUGCACAUUGAUCCUGGAAAAUAAUAUUUGUGAUCAGUAUGCAUUUCUGUAAUCUGUCUAACCCUCUGCACUUAAAAAAUAAUAAACUAAGUAAAAAUUUUUAGUCUGCGUUCUUGAAAUGAACCAGACAGAAUCCAAAAUAGAAGACAGAGGUCAGUGAAUGAGAGCGGUAUAAACAAAUAAUGUGCUUUGUUAGAGGAAGUGGAAUGAGGCAAUAUGCUGCUAGCAAGGACAUGGCAGUAAAAACAUGUUUUUGAGAAGAUUACGCCAUAAAGGAUUUUUAUGUCCUGUGUGUGUUGUCUGAGCAAAUACCUGCACCCCUGGGACAGAGAGGAGUAAUUGAAUGGCCAUUAAAGUAUUGUUGGACCUAUAAAUCAACAUUUUCAAUUGAACAUUAAAUUUUUUUGUUGAACUUGUAUCGUUGACAAUUGCUAGUUUGAUUUAACUGUUUUUUUGUUUCAGUUUUAUUUCAGUAGCAGUGGAUAUUGUAAAUUUAGGACUAUACUAUACAGAUGAAUACUGACUGUGAGAAUUGACUGUUGAGGCUGGCAUUAGUAUGGCAGAAGCAUAUUCAGCAGCUGUACAGGAUAUUUUAUUUUAUUUGUUGGGUAGUAUGAACUGCACCGAAGAGAUUUCACUUAAAAUUAGUGACUGUGAUUAAAAUUGGCCAAAGUAAACACGAAAAUCUGCACAAUAGCCAAUUCUAAGAUAAGGUAAAGAGAGGGAACAGAUAGUGUGUGCAGAGGAAGCAUGUCAUUUGCAUCUCUGCUGCUGAUGCUGCACUACUGCCUCCUGCUGUUUGUCCACAGUAGUGACAUUUGAAGCCUCUGCCAGCAUCUGCAGAGAAGCUAAUUUCCCACCAUCAGUCCCUAACAUUAAUGCAUAUACUGAUCCACGAGCCCUCUGGAGCCCUCUCCACUCCAUCCACCUCUCCUCCUCCUCCUCUGCCCGCCUCUUACUCAUGUUAUCAAUUCACUGUUUUCUCUAGGAAAAUAUAAGUUAAGCCCACCUUAUUUACAUUUAUAUGAUCAGAUUUUCUUCCUUAUGGAAGGUAUGCAAAUUUGCCCUUUUCUUGGGUCUUAGCCACUGAGUGUGUAGAUUUGUUGCCAGGGAUAGGGAGAAAAAAAUAAUAACAUUGCCCUCCAGGAGGAAAGAGACCCAAGUUAGGAUUUCUGGACCUCAUGAAUUUUGAAAUGAUCAAUUUUGUUUACCUUAGCCUCUCCAAGACUUACCAGGACAUUUUGAGCUGGGGAUAUAUAAGAUGAGAUUGAUUUACAUCAGACAUGUCUAUAUCUUUUCCCUUUUUUUCUCAGCGUAUAGACCCGGGGUUGCUGCCCCUGCAGUGCUCAGAAUAUCAUUUUUCAUUUUAUUCAUCUGACGGCCUUAAAAGUCUUCCCUGGGCUUGUGUGUUUGUCAGAUGUGUGGAGGUAGUUUUGCGGGGUGCGCUCAGGCACCGGUCACGUCUCAAAUCCUCUGUGUGUAGGAGCAGAGGGGGAAUGAAAGGCAAAUCUGAGGGCUGGCUGGAUGAAUGCAGUCUGCUUGAGCUUGUUUGAAAAAAGAAAAACAACCCUGUGUUGUUAGUUUGUGUGUGAGAGUGAGAGACAGAGAAUGUGUAUGUAGGUGAGGGCUUUACUCAAGUGAAACUCCUGAACCCAUUGUGAAUCGAAUGGUGGGGUAUUGCACUGCUUUUGGUGUGUGUGCACGCUUGCUAGAGGGGGUGUGUGUGUCCGGUGGACGGCAGAGAGGCACAAGCACUCGAGCAAAUUGCUUUCUGCCAGCAUAUUGCCAGCGCCAGUCUUUAUUCCCUGGGAUGGGAAGGCACGUCUCAGACGAUUACAGCCCCCCGAUUCAGGCUCACAGUGCUGCCCUGCCCGGCUCAACCUAUAGCCUUUACUCCACAAUACAACUCCUCUAUACCAAGCUAUACCCUGCUUGAUGAAAUGCUGAUGUGGAAUAUUUAACUGACACUCCAAGCGAAACCUAAUAAUAUAAUCAGGUAAUAAGAAAUUAAUUUUCUCCCUGGCUGCACUUUGACUGGGGUGUUGAUUCAGGGCAGCGAGGAGAAAUCAUGAGACAAACGCUGGCGAGGGAAUAUCAUAGGUAGUGUCUCUCUCUCUCUUUCUCUCUCUCUCUCUUUCUCUCUCUCUCUGUGCAUCAACAUUUCUUAUGACACACUCCGCUGAUUCGAUAGCCACCCCCACGCUCUCAUUCACACACCCCGUGCUCCUGUGCACAUACAAAUUUGCAGAGACCUGCGCAACAACAAGGAUGCCUCCCUCUCUCUACGCCGCUGAACUGUAAAUGACCAAAGCUAGAAGACGACUCUUGACAUUCACGCACAGACUCGCUCUUACAAACACACAAAUACACACACACACACACUGUCGCUGUCAGGAAAAGAACUCCAUGUCCCCUGCAGGCUAACAUUGUGAGUGUCGGUGCUGGCGUGGCGUUGACCUGCGGCACAGACAGAUGCGUGUGUUCACGAUUCUUCAUGUUAGAAAGUGGGGAGCGUCUUGCUGUUUUCCUGCUGACCCACUAGAUGUAAUUCAGUUCGGCUUGUCCCCUCUCUCUAUCUCCCUCUAUCUUUCCUCUUUGGGCCUCUCAACUCUCACCGCCGGUCCUCAUGCAGUUAAUUAGAAGUCAGGAGUCCAUUGGUGUCAGUGCUUUGGUGGUUUAUUUGCGCCCCCAUUCCCUCAUGCCCCCACCAGCCCAAAACGGAGUCAUCAACAACCCUACCCCCAUGAUGCACACACACAUAACACACACAAACUAUGUGCCAGGGUUUCCACAGCCCUGCCUGCUUCUGCCUGGCAUAGCCAUCCAUCUUUCUGUGCAACCCCCCCCUCCCGCCCCCCAUCUCCACACUUCCUCCUCUGCCUCAAACCACUACCCACCCGACCGCUGCUCUCUCCUCCUCUUCCAUCACCCCCCCCAAAACCCUCCCCUCCUCUCCAUCCCCUGCCAUCGCCUCUCUACCUGAGAGCAUUUGUCAUCCCGUCGCUCUGUGAGCCGCAGCCAACGUGAUGAAAAAAGAAAGGAGGAGAAAAAAAAAGAGAGAGAAAAUCUCGGCGGCAAUAUGCAAAAAUGCAAAAAGGUAGAUGCUGGUUGCCCUGACAACGGCUCUGAGGUUAUUUCCAAGCGCUGAUGGAAAUCAAUGUCAUGUGCUAGCCAGGCAGGCACCUCAGUCCUCAGGAAAAUUAGAAAAAGAGAAGGGGGGUUGAGGGAGAAGGAGGGAGGACUAGAAGGACAAAGAAAAAACGCAGAGAGCAGAAAUCAGGUUUUACUCCUCUCUGAACCUUGAAGGGUCCUGACUUUUCUUCAAAAGAGCUCGAGGCAUGCCGCCGUUGUCGUUCGGGCAUCACUUUGGGUCCUUUCAUGUUGCUUCCUUUGCUUUUGUUUUGUUUCCCCCACUUUGCACAAUUUUACUCUGUCACCAGUCUGCUCCACACUUGAGCUGUCAAGGUGCCUUAUUAUUCUAACGAGACAGAUUUUGGUGCUGGAAAAUGAAAUGGUGUUUGUGUUUGAUGUGGACUGGCAACCGAUUUACCUACAUAUAAUCCCAACCAGCAACAACAGCAAUGAUGCACGUGAAUAGGCAUUCCAAUAAGUAACAUUUGGUGUCAGACAGAUUAAGCUAUUCUAGGUGAAACCGGGUCCAACAAACUUUCAGAGCCUUCCUCCUCAGUCUACUUUGUAGGGCUGCACGAUUUUGGCCAAAAAUAAAAUCCAGAUUUUUUUCUCUGAAAACUUGAUUUUGAUUUUUUAUCCAGUGACAACUUCACCAAACUUCACUUUAAUAAUAAGUUUUCUAUCAUCUCUCAAAACGAAACCACUGAAAACAAAGUAGUGUAUAUGCCAAGACAGUAAGUGGCGCUGUAACGCUGCCAAGGAAAUGCACAAAAGACAGAAGAAGAGUACGGGGCAUGUGUAUAAAGUUUGUUUUAGCCAGACAUCCGCAGGCGCCAUACAAGAGUUACCCUGUGUGUAACAUGGUCAUCUUGAGAGAUUCAGAUAUACGUCCACACAGGGAUGAAAUUUAUUCACUUUCUGGCCUGUUUUUAAAAAGUACCGUUUACAGUCAUCCAAAAUGCCGUUUCCGUGUGGAUGAAAAGCCGAUACGACAAAAACUUUAGCUUUUACUCCUGAAUUGGUUUCCAUGUGGACAGGUUAAUGCUGCCCUCAGACAGACUUUGCAGCUGGGAGUGGUUGGCUCUUCAUCCGAAACUGCGAAGCCGUAUCAAUUCCACACGACUGACUUACUCUCUCCCUAUUCAGCCACAAAAUUAUCGCCUUCUUUCGCAAAUGCCAUGUUUGUUUGCACUGGUGCGUAUGGGACCUGGGUAUUGCUCCCGUUGGAAAGGGGAGCCUACGGUGGCCUUGAGGCGCAAGACAUGAUAGAGAAGAAAAUCAAUUUGAUGAUUUGAAUUUUUUGAACAUCGUCAUAAUUGAUUACAAUUUAAAGUCGAUUAAUUGUGCAGCCCUACUACAUCAAUAUAGUUUAACAUUUUUAAAGAUUAUUAUUAUUGCAUGCUUUUAAUUGUAAAGACCAGUUAGGCUUGAACCCAGGCAGCUGUGAUAAGGACUCAGUCUUCAUGGUAUGUGCUCUAGCCCCCAGCGUGACCCUGCAUCAAUAAUUUUAAGUGAAACUAAAUUUAAUUUCGUUUGCUUUUGCAGUCAGACCAGAUAAACGUUAGACUUGCCUCUCAGGCUGUGUGCAGUCAAACGUUUCAGAUUUCAUUAUUUCCAUAUGAUACUGUAGGCAGUAAAACUUAACAUUUUGUUAGUUCUUAUGUGAUCUUAUGUGCUCUUCACCAUAGGUGUUCUGCUCAUAAGGUGGCAGCUGGAAAGGUGGAGCAGAUACACCGGAUUUAAUCAGAGGUUGCACUGAUUUGGUUUCUCGAGCCUCACUUGGACACGGUGUACAAAAACAGAUGCUGUAUAGUGAAUACUCAGCGCCACAAAUCUACCCACAUUAUUGGAUGAAGUCUGUUAUAAUUUCAGGUAUAUUAAGUCCAUGAAUACAUUUUCCAAUACAAUACAUUCAGAUGUUAGCAGGAAUGCAACAUUAUGCAAAUCUGCAUUUAUAUAUACUGGGUGCUGUCAAUCUUAAUAGGAUCCUGACACAGUCUGGACAUUCUGGGCAGAAGAAUUGUUCGGUGAAUUUGUAAGCUGAAAGAAUCAACAUGGUGUUGUUAUUUACUGUGCUGCUAACAAACAGACAAGCUGUAAACAGGCUGAUACGGUUCCCUGAGCCUACAUUUGGGCCUGAGGUUGCAUGCCAGAACUUUACUCUGCAGAGUAGGGAUGGGCGAUAUAGGCCAUUUAUCACAACAAGAUUUGCCAUUCUGGGGAUAAUGAUAAAAGUCCCAAUAAAUAGUAUUGUACUUCUAAUCUAUAUUUUUGACUCAUUUUGUCUUGAGAACUCCAGUUGGAGUUUUCAAAUGAGAUACUUAACCACAAGUUUAAGUGGUAGGUUAUGGAAAAAACUAAGACAUCAACAAGUCUCAAAUGUAAAAACAUUUUCAACAUUUAUUAAAAACUCUUAUUGCACAGAGUGAACAGCAGCAGAUCCACUGUCAGAUGUCAGACAUACCUGAUUGUGUUCAUCUAAACCCCAAUCUUGAAGGAAAGCCCUCAUGUGGAGUCUUGUUUAGCAAAAAGCUGCUCAAAAACAUCUUCUUCGUUACCCUCGGCCAUGUUUGUUUGUUAGUCUACUCUGUGUGGGCCAUGACUGCGAGUCCGUCGCUCGCUUACGUAAUCAACUUGCAUUUAUCGUAUUUAUCAUGGAGGAUUUUUCUGAAGAAGGAUAACUUAUCGCCCAUCCCUACUGCAGAGAGAGAACAUAAGAACUUCUGUCCAUAAAGUUUGAUACUUUUCUCAUCAAUUAACUCACUGUGAGAGAUGUAUUGAAUCAAUUUCCUCAGGUUGGAAUCAAUAACCCAUAAACUGUAAUUUAUAGUCCAAACUGCUGCAGUCACCACAGGCCAUCUCUGAAUAGUCCUUUGGCAGGCUGCUGUGGAAUAGAUGGGCCAUGCAUGCCAAGCCAAUAGGUUCUCCUCAUCAUUUGCAUACCUAACAUGGUGUUCACACUCCAGUUGACACAUUUGCAACCCGCCACUUAUCCCAUUACCAGCUGUCCCCGGUUGGAGCAUUGUUUGCUGCGUCGGCACUCUUUCUUGCCGGCUGGCCAGCUCAUUUCCUACAGCGUUGUGUGUUGAGACACUCACAGGUUGUUUGGAUGCUGCUAAAAUCUCUGCACAAACACACAUCGAUAACUCUCUUUGGUGCACUACAGUUUAUACUUGUUGAGAGAGACUGAAAGGAUGAGAAAACCUCUUUGGAAAGUUGGAGUAAGGUAUGUGAAAGUAUGGUCGCUUUCACAUCACUUUCAAUUUAACAGCACUGUAGGUUUUAUAUUUCUACAGACGACAUUGAAAAAACAAUUCAAAAUCAGAAUAUCCACAUUCAGGUUCAUGUCAAUAUGUAUACUCACUCUCAUAUAUAUAUAUCUCCUUAGGCACCUUUACGCUGUGUUUCGUUUGGAGUCUCUAAUACGGGGUCAGUAAUUUGUCAUUAAGAGUUUAAUUUUAGUUGGCGCUUUUGCUCUGGAUGUUUAAUUUCAGUCUGCAAUAAACCACCCAGAGCCCUGCAGCCAUUUUUGCCUCCUUCCCCCCUCCUCCCUUGCCCCCUUCCAGCCUCCAUCUUUCUCUCUUUCAUUCCCUGUUUUUCAGGAGGGCAGUGUUAUUGUAAAAGUAAAACUGAUUCCCACAGGCAACAAAAAGAAAAGGCUAUUAGUGGAUGAGCUGUGUUGUUCACCUUGGACACGGCUGCAGGAUGUAAUGUGUUUCUGUCUCAGAGCCACAGUGAUAUUUUCCUUUCCUCUGGUAGGGAGAGCUACACUAUGUUGCUCUGCAGUAAGGCUUUCAGAGUGUCAUGUUUUUACAGCAGGGGUCCUGAUAUCUCUCACAUAAGACUUACAUGACAUUUCUGCUCGGCUCUUUUAUCAAUUGGCUGUGUAAACCGGCUUACACCAAGCUUCUGAACUCAAUGAACUUAAAAUCACUGUGCAGAUUCUCUCUGUGUUGAGGGGCUGCGGCUGAAAGCUGUAUGUCACCCAUGGAUUUUCUGAUAAGAUCAUUUUCCACCCUGCACAUCUAUUUUUGAUGUGCUGUGUUGGUGGCUAAAUGAAUAUUCAUGAAUGUGCAGAAGGCCUAUAUGUAUCAUAGUGAUUUCCACCCGUGUCAUCAAGCUGUGCAAAUUACAUCCUCACAUCUCCAUGCAGCCCCCUCUUAUUCCUUAAUUAAUGACACUGAGAAAAUGUUUUUUUUUUCCUUCCAAUGAAAAUUAGCUCCUUCAAGACAGAAUGUGUGAAGAUAUUUAAUAGAAGUGAUAAUUCAUGCCUUGUUUUGCCUUGAUGACUUCAGGAAAUACAUUUUCCCCAGCAGAAAGCCCCCCUUAAGAUGGAUUUACUGACCUUGGAGGGGAUUAAACUCAAAUAUUACACGGCAUUGGCAAGGUGUACAACAAUAACACAACAUAUUUGAAGAAGGAGGUUAAGACUGUGUUUACACGUGCCCAGGUUUUUUCAUAAAUGGACAUUUCACCCUCUCCAUGUACAAAAAAUAAAACAAAACUGCGUGCACACCACUACAUUUUCAGAAAAUUUGCGUUUACACUAACCAGUGUAUCUAUGCUGUCUGACAGCAGCGAUGCCCGCGACAUCUGGAAAUUUUCACGCCACUCCUCCGACAGAACCACUUCAUUUACGAAGUUCUCCCACCAAACAGUAGUGCACCCAGGUCAGACCCAAAACCAAGACAAGGGGGACAUGUCCCCCCCUACUUUUUCAAAAGCCCGUUUUGGUCUCCAGCAGUUUUAACUGUCUGAAAACAAUGUUACGUUACACUAUAGCAAACCAGUACAUGUCAGGCACUAGGACCAAACGGCCGCUCAAGCUGAAAACUGGUUUCCCUCAGUUAGGACCGCCCACAAGGUCCUUGAUUGGCUCUGUCAUCAGAGGUUUCAUUUACAUCCCUGUAUCGGGUUUGUACUUCCAUCCACCCGCUGGCCGUAUUGCCUCCUCUGUUACUAUGUGUGCGAGAUGUGCUGUUUGCUAGGCCAUAUGUCUCAACAGUACUCAAGUCACAUGUGUCCACCCCACCUUUGAAAUCAAAAUUUCGUCCUUGGCGACGCAAGCGCACUCUUCGUGUCGGAGGGAAAAGUUGCUUCAACAUUGCUGACCUUUGAGCACUCAGUUGUCUCUGCUUCUCCUCAUAGUACAGCACUUGUAUUUGCAAACAAAUACAAAGGGAUUGCACCAGCAUAAAUGCGACUGCUAUUCUGCAUGCAUCUAUGAUCAUCAUAGAUCAUAAACAUAGACUGUAGAUUAUAAACAACUUUGCAUUUAACCCAGUUUCCAGCAUAAAUGUGCCGUCGGCGACUCAAAUCUAUGUUUUUCUCUGUUUACAUGCAAACAGAGCUUUCCAAAAUUUCCACUCUGGACGGAGUUUUUGAAAAGCAUUGUUUUCAUGGGCGAAUUCCCUGAUUGCGUCUAAACCAAGGGUGAAAACGAUGGUUAAUGUCUCCGUUUUUAAAAAUAAUCGGGUACAUAUAAACGGGGCCUAAGAGUAUGCAGAAGAAACAGACUUAGUCAAAUUUCCCCAUGCUUGAAAAUAGAGAAAAAAAUCAGCAAUAGGAUAAGAUCUACUAAUUCGUUCUCAGGGGGGCGCAAAUAAGGAAGUCCAUCACAGGAGCUUUAAGUUGUGUGCUUAAAUGAGCAGCAUUUAAACUCCAUAAAGAUCCUUUUACUGCAAUGUUACGACAUGAAACACAGCUGACAUUGUGUAGAUCUUCAGAACCACAUGUCAUGCAUUUAGCUUAUCAUGCGUAUACAGUGUGGGUGUUGAAUCUCGCCUUCAUCUCUGAGAUGAAAAAGAAGAUGAGGAGUGGGGGUUAUAUGGCUCAUGAAGAGGAUAAUAAAGGGCGGAAGUGGGGACAAGCAGUGAUGCUGACAUUAGGGUCAAGUGCUGAUCUGGCGUCACAUUUCCCUUUCAAAUCCAUCUUUAUGCAUAUGCUCACAUGAACACAUUAAAGUCCGUGUGUAGCCGCACACCCACAUGCUCAUGCUAGGAAGCCUGCCAGAGAGAGAGGUUAAGUCACAGGGAGACAGAAAGCAGAUGGAUGAAAUCAAAUGAGUAAAGCAAAUUAUUUAAGGGUGUGCUUAUGCGUUAUGAGGGUGUAUUUGUGUGUGUGUGGGUGUGCGGUGUGCCGUGCCAAGAGAAUAUAUAUAUGUAGGAGAGAAGAGAGAGGCAGAAUCCAUUCAGGAUGGAGGUAGUAGCUCACUGACAGACCUCACUGCCAUGCUCAGCCAGUUCAUUGCUGUCAUUCCUUACAUCUUUUGACAUUUUCAAUUAUGUCUUUCACACAUGGCUGGGCGCUUGUUUUUUUUUUUCAAUACUCUCCUCAUCACCCUCCUUUGCUUUUCUCUCGCUCUCCCUCCUUCCUAUUCUGUCCCUCCACCUUUAUUCCAUUUCCUUUUUAAGUGGCCGCUCCCUCCUCACUUUGUGUGUCAGGCCUUUUCAUAUGUGGGGGUCAGGUAUAGCCCAGGGAUGGAAUUACUCCCCCUCCUACCUCUGUGGCGGAUGGAGUGAGUGAGGGAGGGAUAGGGCAAACGAGAAGCGGGAAGGGAUGCUGUCAGAUAUGUCAAGGAGUCCUGUUCAAUUUAUGUGCUGAUCCGGAGGGGGACCUCACAGGGCGAGGUGCAGAUCCAAGGUAGACUUGUGUUUUUUGGUUGGCUACAUCCUUCUUACCUCCAAGCCCCCCGACUAUAACGGCCAAGAGAUUUAUAUUUGACUGGAACAUCUGCUUUAAAGGUGUUCUCUAUGUGCGCUUUACCACUGCAUAGUCCUGAAUUGGAAAAUAAGUAUCAGUAUCACUAAUGAUCACUGCCUAAAUGCAGCAAAUACUGUCGAUUAGUUUAAUUUCAAACCUAGUUGCUGAGUAGAUGUCUGGACAAACAACCACAUUACACUUGAAAUAGGUUGCAUUCAUAAAACAAGACCAGAAAUAAAUCUUGUUUUUCAGAUACUGAAAUGGGACUGGAAUUGCUUGUUAUAAGUAAAAAUAUAGGAAACAUGAAAUGAGAUAGUUUGUUUAAAAAUUAGACACUCAUGCCAAGACUGGAACUGAACUGGUCUGAUGCCAUAUUGAAUUUUCCCUCCAAAAAAUCAAUUGGUUGUAGGUCAAAGACUCUUGAUGCAGAAUCUUCCAGUUGUUCUCCAUCUUCUCAGAGCUUCUCAGGAGGAUAGUCACCACCCUUAGACUGUAUAAUAACUGGGUAUAGCAUCAGGGAUUUAACCAUCUGUUUCUGUAGCCGAGUUUUGAAGCUAAUCAGUGGUAGUCGCCAUAUUGAAAAUGCUGACUCAACUUUCUACCUACCAGAGGCCUGUACAUUUAAUAACUUUGGAAAGAACAUUUACACGCACUAGGGCUGGGUGAUAUGGCCUCAAAUUAAUAUCAUGAUACAUUGCAGUUCACCUUUACGAUAAAUGGACAAUAAUUACUCCACAAGCUGCUCACCCCCUCCCACAUUAACUUCGUCUAAAUCAGCCGCCACUCCAACUUUUGAACAGUCCUCCAUCUCCUCACUUGUCUUUCUCUGUUUGUUACAGACUGGAUGGGGUGGAGUCACGUCUCCAACGUAGGACAGUGUCUUAAAGGGACAUGAGACCAUAGCCUACCUACACACAUCCAAAACAAACUUUUAUUUAUUUUUUGACACCAAAUAUACUGAUAUGGGCACAAUGACAUCAGUUAUUGUCAUAAAUAUUAGUAUUGAUAAUUUUCGGUUUAUCGCCCAGCCCAGGCAGGCGCACCAAAAUCCUUUUUUGAACUAGACCAAUUGAUGUUUAUUUGUUUUAAAACAACAUUAUUAUUGUAAUGUGGUUUUCAGUACUUCUGCAGACAACUUCAAGUGUGCUCUUAGGGAACUGCAAUUCUUUAUCACCUCAAGUUUAUUAGGGGUGUGAAUCACCAGUGGCUUCACGAUACGAUAUUGUCACGAUACUUGGGCCACGAUAUAUUAUUGCGAUUUUUAACAUUUUGCGAUACAUUUAGUAUUGCGAUACAAUAUAUUACAAUUCAUACAAUUUUUUCAGCUGUUUUUCUUAUUUACACAGCAUUUUAUCUUCAUGUAGCACUUCUCGCAAACCUCAUGUGUCAGGUCCAUCUCAUUUGUGCCCUGCUUGCAUUCCUAAUAUCUUUCCCCAGGCGCUGCUAUAUUGGUUGAACUAACUUUCUCCUGCUCUGUGAUAUCACCUCUGCCAACCUCACUGGACAAACAGUUUAUUUUAUUUUUCCAUUUUCAUAGAUGUGAAUUCAUAUUAACAAUUAAUUUGAAAAAACUGAUACUUGGUCAAUGAGACGAUAUGAUUUAUCACCAAGAUACUGUGCUGUAUCGAUUUUUUCUCCCACCCCUAAAGUUUAUGAAUAACUAUGAGAAAGAUGCUCGGAUGCAGGCAGGAUUUGGAGGCAACUUAUGGGGCAGAUAAGUGACAAGAUGAUCACUCUGCCCCUCAACUGACUCUGCUGUUACAGGAAUGCAUUUGUCCACUGUAUUUUGUGGGAUGGAUUCAAUGCACAGGGGAGGAAAACACCAAAGAAUUUGAAUGUUUAACAGUCCACCUUGAACAUUCUCUCAUUUCGUCAUUGUCUCAUUAAAAACACUUUUUUUCAGGGCGUUUAUCAUCAGUGAUUUAUAUUUUAUCUCUCCAUCAUCCCGUCUCUGUCACGGGAAAUAAAGGUCAUUGAUAAACCUGGUCAGCAUGUCAGUACUCUCUCAAAUACCUUAAAGACCUGAAUGCUGACUGAUGAUAUGACUCUGUGAGUGAUCACCGAACUGACUAAUUGAUUGAGUCAUAAUGAGCCCAUAAUGUGCUUCACCACUUAGAGCAUCAGAGGACAUACAGCAUCCAUAAUGUAUGAUCUAUAUGAAAGAAGACUGGGAUCAUUUUCCUACUAGGUCAGCUGAUGGAUUUACUGAUUGAUUGAUUUGCUGACUGACUAAUUGAUUGGUUUCAUAAUGAAGGGAAAACACAUUUUUCACCAUUAAAGCCUAACCAGGGGGGAUUCCCUGCAGCUGGCAGUCGUGAUGUAACGCAAAAGGUUCUAAUGACCUCAGCAUAAUCACCACCAUUAUGAUACCAGCGCUCAGCUCUCCAAACCACUUUAUCAUCAGAGUGUUGCCUACUCAUGCCUACAGUUAGCGCUCACUCACUCCUCUCGCUCAAAGUCAGCCAAACAGAUAACUGCUGCCAGGUCUGCGGCCAAAAUCUCAGCAGAAAUGUUGCCGGCUGCCAACAAAGCUUUGUUUGGACGAAAAACAGAAUAUUUCCCUGUUUGUGUGUGUGUGUGUGUGUGUGUGUGUGUGUGUGUGUGUGUGUGUGUGUGUGUGUGUGAGGUAGCAGACUCAUCGAGUUGCCAAAACCGGCCACUCCGGCUUGACUCACUUUCACCAGGGGGCAGUAAAGAAGGCAGGACGCCAGAUUGCUAUUUUUACAGGCUAAUCAUUGAAGUAGGUUGCCAUGUCUUUUUUUUUGCUCCCUCUUAUCCCCCCCCCCCCUCCUGCUGACUCUUAACCCCGACCCCACAGCAGGAGAUCCCUCUCUUGGCAAAGGGGAGGUAAAAAAGCAAGCGAGGAGGAAAAAAUGGGGGGGAAGUCAGUGGUGCGAGCUGAACAAGAGAAAUGGGGGAGUCAUGGUCAAGGGCUGAUUAAUGAGCCUCUAAUUUAAUCAGCAAUUCCCAUCUCACCAGGGCCUCUCCACGUGGCUCUGUAGCAGCUUAUUAUUUUUAACAAGUCUGUGAUCUCCCCCUUUUCCUUUGCUCCUUUUCUCCCGCUUUCUGUCUUCCCCAGUUCUUCCUUUUAUACUGAGCUCUUAUCUGUGUCAGAGUCGGGGAUGUGAAUAGUGGGGCGAUGAUUAAUGGAGAUUUAAGACCUAUGAAGGAUGUCUAAUCUCUCUCAUUUUCUCUCACUCCCUCCCUCUGUCCCUGUCGACGUACCUUUCUCUGUGUCUUUCCCACUCUUUAAACAAAACUGACUGCUGUAGUUGAGUUUUAGUCUAGGCAGCUGCCAUUAUGUAGGAAGUUAUAGUAAUGAAACCUCAAAGAUGGUCUUCAGCACCUGUAUUAGACAUAAAAUGGGUAAGAAAAGACACGUGCUUGUGUGUAUGGGUACCGUGUACAUGUUUCUUUGCAAAGAGCAUCAUUUCAGCUUUUUAUUACCUUGCUUUAAUUAAAUUAAUGAGCCUUAAACUCACUGCAUGUCGUACAUGAGCCUGUCUUGUACUUACAGUGUAACCUAAUGCAGAACUGAUCACCUGCAUUGCCUGUGUCAUAAGCCGGCAUUGAAUGCAGUCAUGUCUUGAAAUUACUGACGUUAAUUUCUGACCCUUAGAGAUUGUAGAAGUCUUUUGUAUAACUUGAAAUUCACUUUCUAGGAAUGCAUGAUAUUGGAUUUUAGCAGAUGUCUGAUAUUUUCAACUUUUUUUGUUGUAAAAAAAAAUUGGCCAAUAUAUAUCUGCAGAAAUGUGCAAUGUGACUGAUUGUUAAUGUGACAAGUUGUGAAUGCAAACACUGAAUGCUGGAAUAAAACUUGGAUGUUUUAAAUGCUGUAGCUAGCUGUUAAUAUUGGUAGAGUAGACUUAAUUGCAGUAGUAGUGAUUAUUACAAUUAGGGCUGGGCGAUAAACCGAAAAUUUACCAAUACAGAAAUUUACAACAAUAACCAACGUCAUUUUGCCCAUGCCACUUUAUUCGGUGUCAAAAUAAACAAAUAAAUAAAAGUUGGUUUUGGAUGUGUGUAGGUAGGCUAUGGUCUCAUGUCCCUUUAAGACACUGUUCUAUGUCAGAGACAUGACUCCACCCCAUCCAGUCUGUAACAAAGAGGGAAAAACAGGUGAGGAGAUGGAGGACGGUUCAAAAGUUAUAGCGGCUGAAGUAGACGAAGUUAAUGUGGAAUAUCAGACUUGUGUUUUCAAACUCCUAAGUCUCUCCAAGACAAAUUUAAAACAAGAAGAAACAUCAUUAAAAUCCACCAUUAAUGAUAAACGUUUUCCUUUUUAAACAUUUUUUGAAGCGCAGGCUGACACUAACACAGUUUUUGUUCUCACUUUUUAGGAUAAUGGUUCUUCAAAUACAAAAAUUGAAUCGGUUGUGUUAAAGAAAUUUAGUUUUGCUCUUUCUCACAUCAGCGACGCUUUACAACCAUUACAAAAGCUAUUUUUCUGUCCGUUUCCUACAUCUCAGUAUACUUCCAUACAACCAACAUGCCACACAUAAGCUGUCUUCAUGUAAACAUUGUAGUAUUGGCAAACACGUUUAUAUCUGUCAAUACUGAAAGUUAACUUUUUAAGCUUUUAUCCGCCAAUUAUCUUGACAAUAGAAAUGUGCAGCCCUAAAUAAAAUCAAUAUUAGUUAAUUUUUCAGUGAUUGCCACAACAACAACAACAACAAAGUUAUUAAAUGAAAAUUACAUGACUCUGUGUUGUAAGUUGUCAUCAGAGAUACAAUGAUUCAGAGACAUGACUGAAGGUGAAAUGAAAUGGUGUUUUUCCACUUUCUGUUCUUUUAGGUUAUAUAAAUUCACUAAAUUCAGGUAAAUAAAAUAAAGGUACAGAUCAUAAUCUCUGGCAGGGCUGUUGUCCUUUAACUUACUUUGACUCUUGAAUUGUUAGUUUUGUUUAACAGAUCCAAGAAGCCAAGCUAGUACAUAUUUUUUCUGUGGUUUUACCUUAUAGUCCACGUCUUCAGGAGAAAAGCAAAACCUCACCCUACCUCUCCCUCCUUUAAACAAAUAGUCGCUCCAUACCUCAUAUUCCCUUCCCUCACAUUUGUCUGCGUAAAACAGCACACACAGCACCUUUUUUUCACAUGCAGAAGCGAUUCAUAUAUUGCCAGAUAAUUAGAAAUGAUGGCAGGUUAAAAAAAGGGAGGAAAUAAGAAGUGAUGGAAUAAGAAAGGCUUUGUAGUGAGUCAGAAUGGAGAUGAGAGCAGCUCUUUAAUUCUUCCUCUGAUUACUAAGUGCCUGCGUCCAUUAUCUUUACACAGUGAAUAGCAGAACACCAUAAAGGUAAAAUGUGACUCAUCCAUCCCCAACGGUUAUCACUCUCAAUGGCUUAUGGGAGCUGUUCUCCCCCCCCACCCUCCUCCAUCCGCGCUCAGAUUGACACAGUGCCUACUUAACGGCUCUUCAGAAAGUGAUUUCAAAUUGUGUGUACACUACAGUAGAUGUUUGUACACAGUUUUAUGCUUUCAAGAGGGACUUUUGUGUAUGUAUGAGUGUUAGCGCAUGUAUGAAAAUCUGUCUUUUUGUAAGAGUGCAUAUUUGUCAUGUCAUUUCAUAUGUUUCUUCUGUCAGUGGGAGACGAGGGGUGGGGUGCGAAGGUCCCCUCUCCUCUCCUUUGCCAUGCUGCUCUGAGAGGUAUUGCCUCCCUUAUUGCUGUUGAAAAGCCCCAUCAGUGCCAGGCGCUCUGAUUUAUGUCUCUGAACCUCUCCACCUCCAGCUCCUUUCCAUUAGGCUUUACAAUAUUCCCCCCAUUGUUCAGCUCCUGGCGUUAUCGGCCCAGCCCAGGCCUGUCAGCAAGACCUGCCCCGCACACAAUCACGCCAGGAGCGGCGAGAAGAAAAAGGAGGGGAGGGGUGGUAGGAGUGAGAGAUCGGAGAGGUGGGGUACUACAGAUAGGAAGAGGAGGGGAGGAGGAGCGAGCAUGCCGGGAUGAAGAGGGAGAUAGAGAAAGUGGCAGGCAGAGAUGGUUGGGGGAGGAUGGAAAAAAAAGAGAUGAUGGGAUGAUAGGAGGAAAAACGAAGAUGAGGUGGAGGGCAGCGUGUUGAAGGAAGUGUCGAAAUGGAAGAUGUCCAUCUCAAGCUUGGUUUUAUUGUUCCUGAAAGCAGGACUUGAGGGACGGAGACAUAAGUCAGGCAAAAAAAAACGCGAGAGGCGGCGAUGCUAUUUGGUUGCAUUACUUGGUUACAGUAUGUGCAUUAAGAUAAAGAUUUCAUUGCCUUGGAAUAGUGUUGAUAAGGUGAUGGCAGUGUUACUAUAGCAUGUGGAGCUUUAGAUGCAGACCUCACUCUGUCAAUUUAAGCCAGCUUUAUUGCCUCGAAGAAAGGCCGGAUGAGGCAGGAGCACGCCGUUGCAUUUGGUUAAAUGUAGGUGCCUUUCAGACGUGGCUUCACAAUAUAGUGCGAGCAGAUGCAUCACAGUCGUUAAGUGCGGUACAAUGAAUGCUUGAAAGGCAGCCUGGAGAAAGGUCGAGAGGGCUGCAUGAGCAGAAUGUGAAUGAGGAAAGACUAUUUAAAGAGAUUCGGGAUCGAUGCUUGUCUUGAUGAUGUGCGAGCAACGACAGAUCAGCCAGAGGUUGUUUGUGAGGGUAAAGUGUUGAGAGAUUAAGCAAGCAAACGAGAAAUGCGCAGGUUAUUCUAGCUCGCAAACACCAUAGUGUAACUUUCCUAUGGCGGUACUGGAAGUGGUAUUUCUUCUUUCUGCUCUUAAUAAUGCAAAAGGUAUUCAGAGCAAUGUCGCUAUAAAUCUAAAACGCAUUUUCCCCCCACCUUCUGUAAAUGAAUGCCACCUUGACUUACACCCCCUCUUUAUAAUUGACAAUUCAGAAGACAAUUGCUCACAAAUGGCAAAAUUUUCCUAUUUGUCUCAGUCCUGCAUAUGCCUACCCAGACAAUGACAUGGUAAAUUUAAAAUGAAUUGCAAAUUGCCCUCAUUUGAAAUGCAGGGGCCUCUCCUCCUUUUGAAGAGGCGGCGGGUUCCUGUAAGAGAUCUUUUUUUUUGACAUACACCUUUGAGAAGAGGAAGAUGAGAAGCGGUGGAUUAAAAGGAGAAGAAGAAGGAGAGGAGAGAAGAGGGGAGGGGAGGUUGGCAGAUAAGCUUGCUUGCUUUCAACUCAGCAGAGGAUAAGGGAGAAGAAGUUUUAAUAUCUCUAAAUCAGCAGCUCGAUAUUGAAAGUGUCAUCUAAUUGAAAAUGAUUUAGGACACCGGGCCCGCCUGGCAAUCAUAUAUAAAUUCACUCCUGACACCAGCUCCAAAGUCUCUCUAUUUCUACUUUAUGAGUCAUUUGCAUGGUGGGGGCCUUGGAGAGUAUAAACCAUGCAAAUGAUAUGGAGCGCUGCACAAGGUGAUGUAUCCCCUCCCCUCUCCCUCCCUCUCCUCCUCCAUCUCUCCAUCUCUCACUCGUUCUCCCUCUUAGCCUCAGGAGAAAUGCUUUCUGCUUUGCUGCUGCCUUUGUCCAGAAAGUCAUUUAUUUCUCUUGUUGUUCGCUCGCUUGCUAUUUUACAGCCCGCCACAUAGGUUAGGGGGAAAGAGCCGGCUGCCAGCCCAUUCAGCAGAAUAACUGUCAUCUCCCAUUUGUGAGCCCAUGUUGUACGUGGAAGUCAUUUCCCUAUUUGGUGAAAAGACAGAUAGAGAUGCCCACAAUAGAAAUGCGGAUGUGUAUCCCUUUAGUACAUUACAAUAAAUAUACCUGUGCUAUAAUGUGACACUGAAAGCCUUGCAGUGCAUCCUUGCGCCUCAUACUUUAAUAUGUGGUAAAUGCUGUACUGUCUAGGACUUCAGGCUGGGUUUUUCUUUCUUUUUUUCUUUUUUUAAAAUCUUUCCAUGAGCUUUCAUCUCCUCCGCAAAGCUGUCAUUAACAUGUGUGCAAGACUGCUUUCAAGUCACGAAACACACACUUGCCAGGUGGGUUCAACACAGAGUGCAUCACGCAAUCAGGAGUCGUGGAAACCUGGGAAGGAAAAUCGCACAUGAAUGAGAUUGAAACAUAUUAACGGAAAAUAAACAAGUAGGGCUGGGUGAUAUGGGAAAAAGUUUAUCACUAGUGAUGCACGAUAUGAAAAAUUUCAACCGAUACCGAUAACCGAUAAUUUUCUUCUUCUCAUGGCCGAUACCGAUACCGAUAACCGAUAAAUUCAUAUUUUUACGUUUAUUAUAAUCUUCAUAUAAUCUGCAGUUUGUGCAGGAUGCAGCGAUUGAAAACUGCGGUUUUUGUUGCUCUGGCCUAUCUAGAACAACAAACAAAAGUUUUUGGCUCUUCAAAUGUGGUCAUUUGCUAUAAAUAACAAUAACAGAGCAAAAAGCAGAACUUCAUUUGAUCCCCUGAACUGUUCAACAGAACUGUAAACUGUAAAGGAGCUAUUAUGAGACGUUAGGCUUAGCAUGCUGACCGGACUAACAUCUGACGUCCAUAUGUCUGUGGUAAAACUCACGUGUAGUCCGUUCUUGUCGAUCAGGUUGUGAAUGUAUGUGGCGACAAUAUCAUAGAGUGCAGGAAGAGACACAUCCGAGAAGAAGCGGCGGCUUGGGAGAGUGUAACGUGGCUCCAAGUGUGCUAAUAACUUACGAAAACCCGGGUUCUCAAUGACGGAAAAAGGCUGGUCGUCGACCGCUAUGAAUUCCAUCACUUUGUCGUUAAUGCCUUUAGCCUUUUCGCUGUCUCUUGAGAAGCUUUUGCAGUUUUUAAACGCCUGCUGAAUGGGGACAUCGAUCCUCCGUAGUGUUGUUGUCUUAGCUUUAGUACCGCUAGCAGCUUCGGCGGCUGUCUCAUAUUCUUUUACUACCGCUUCGCCGCGAUGGCGACUUUUCAGAUGAGCUAUCAGAUUCGUUGUGUUAAAACUUGACGUCUUCUUUCCUCCUCUCGGAAUCCUCGCUGAACAGGUUUUGCAUAUAGCAAUGCUGUUGUCAUCUUCUGCCACUGAGAGAAAAGACCAUGCUGGUAAAGACAUUUUAUUAUCUAUCAGGUAGUGACGGGGUCAGGCUUGGGACCUGCGAGUAAGGCGCGAUAGAUGACUUAACCAGCGCGUCUCGGACGGGCGGCUACUCCGCCUGCAAACGUUACUCGUAAUUUCAUUAAUAUAUCGGAUCUUUCUAUCGGAAAAAUGCACCUAUCGGACCGAUAAAAAAUGACGUAAUUUCUCCCCAAAUCGGCCGAUAUUUUAUGGGUCCGAUAAAUAUUGUGCAUCCCUAUUUAUCACGAUAUAUUUUUUUCAUAUCACGACAUAAAAAUGAAAUUUAACAGAGCCUAUCGGUAGCAUGUCUUUUGCGAUACAAUAAGCUACUGCAUCUGUGAGGUCUUUGUGUCUCUUCAACAUUUUGUCGUAAAGUGUUGCUGCUGUUUCGGCUGCACAGGCGCCAUGGGCUCUUUGCUCCGCUUGGGGUUUGUAACCUUUUGCGUUGCGUGUGCUCUGCCAUGUGGCACUGCUUCAGUUGGCGAAAAAGAUUUGAGGUAUUCCCCGACUUUGUGAGAACAUGCACUCGACAUAAUUUGCAGUGCACAUUACUCUGCUUAAUGCCCGACCUUAAAAAAACAAAAUACCUCCACACCACUGAAGUUUUCGUGCCAGUGUUGUCGACGAUGUCAUCAUCUGUUGAGCCUUCAUCUGCAUUUCUGCGGGAGUAGCACUCCUUUUCUUUGGCUAUCUUUAUAGUCUACCGAAACAUGGGAAAAUGCCUACUAUCGAAAAGCAUAUUGACCAUGUUUCAUAUUGAUAUUGAGGGAAAUUAAUUUUCCAUAUAUAUUGUUAUUGUUUUAUCACCCAGCCCUAUAAAUAGGAAACCCAGAAGCCUAAAAUUAAGAGGUUUGAUCUUUGUAGUGGCGUCACUUCCAAAGCAGUUCUUCACCUGAUGGCCUGUCCUGCCCGUUAGAUGGAUAUAAAAAGCAGGGAGUGAGAGUUCAGAAGGGCUGACUAUAUAUGGUUACCCUUUAUGGCUUCCAUAAAACUUUUAUGAGUUGGAAAUCCUCUAUUUUUCUCUCUGGAGGGAAACAUCGCAGUUUAAGAGUGAAAGUAAGAAGAGUAUAUGGAGACGGAUGAAAAGCAACAACAUGAGGGUCUCCUGUUCUCCUAUCAAUGGGCAGGAACUCGUUAAAACAAAACCUCUCUUUUGUCUUUUCAUCCCUCUUGUUCCACCAGUGCAGCUGUUAUUAAGACGUGAAUAAACUGGCUGAAGGGAAUACUGUGUGCACAUUAUCAUCUAACACUGUGUGGCCUUUCGUUGUAGAAACGGGGCUAAGUUAUCCCACAGGGUGUAAUUUGUGUGUAAACAUGUGUGCCCUCAUUUUUCUCCCUCCGGAUCUGUGGUUUUGGUGCUAAAAAAGAUCAGGGCUGCGCUAUAAUCCGCUGUUUAUGUUUGUUUUUUAUGUGCACAUGUGGCUCAUGAUUUUUGAGUGAAUUUCGCAUGAAUUUUUGUGCAGGUCCAGUUUUUUAUUUUAUACUUAAGCUCUUAAUUUUCAGAACAUAUGCAUGCAUCCUGAGUUUCUUAUGAGGGGUUACAUGCAAGCAUGUCUGUUUUUACUAUAUUUUAUUUAUGUCUGUACGCGUCAGUAAAUAUAUGCAAAUUCCAGCUGUAUAUGUGUGUGUGUGUGCAUGGAGAGCUGGUGAGUGAAUGACUGCAGCAGUCUCAAGUGUUGCCCAGGGAGCUUCUACGUGCGGUGGCAGUCUUGUUUGUCUUCCACUGCUACUCAAACAAUGGCUCCCCAUGGGCCCGCUCUCCGCCUAAUUGAGAGACUACAGAAGGAGAAGGAGAGAGUGAGAGAGAGAGAAAGAGAGAGAGAAGUGAUAGGGCCGCAGUUACACCAGCUCAAUUACACACACAUACACACAACCAAUGAACACACUCACCACUUCCACACUUGCACGCUCACAAGUAAACACCAGCACCCACAUGAAGAAGUAUAAAGCAUCAUAAAGUGGUAAUAGUGCCACUGCUGAGCUUCUGUUCAUGGCAUCUUAUGUGUAUCAACAAAAGCUCACACACACACACACACACACACACACACACACACACACACACACACACACACACCAAAAGUAAUCACUUCUGAUGGAGAGACAGCAGUGAGAAAUCUCUCAGCGCGAAGUGAUAAACCAAAUAGUCUGUGCAGUGUAUCUGUUGUGUCUGUGAGGCCUUGAAAUGUCCCCGACUCUUGACGCUCAUAUUACACAGCACAGUACCUGUUACAAGGAUGUGUGAUGUAACCCUAAAUGUUGCUCAUAUUGUUAUUAGUAGGUAUGGAUUAAGUGAUAUGUGGAUAUGUAGUCACGUCAUAUUUUCAAUGAGCAUGUUAAUGGGCUUCUUCAGUGAAUUCAGGUAAGAGGAAAAAAACAGCAUAACCUAGGGCUGGGCAAUAUGGCCUCAAAUCAGUAUCAAGAUAUAUUGAGCAGUUCACCUCAAUAACAUUAAAUGGACAAUAACUACUCCACAAGAUGCUCACCCCCUCCCACAUUAACUUCAUCUACUUCAGCUGCCGCUCCAGCCACUACAACUUUUGAACCGUCCUCCAUCUCCUCACCUGUCUUUCCCUCUUUGUCACGGACUGGAUGGGGUGGAGUCAUGUCUCUGAUGUAGGACAGUGUCUUAAAGGGACAUGAAACCAUAUUCUACCUACACACAUCCAAAACCAACUUUUUUGACACUGAAUAUAUCAACAUAGGCAAAAUGACGUUGGUUAUUGUCGUAAAUUUCAGUAUCAGUAAAUUUUCAGUUUAUCGCCCAGCCCUUCCAUAACCCCAUUUUAGAUGGCUUUUACAAACUUAAUUUUAGAUGUACUCCAGUGUUAAUUCAAAAAGCCUCCGACAGUGGCUGAGUUUUAAGAGGUUAUUUUUCAUGUUGCAGAAUAAUUGCAUGACUCAUAUCAACUCCCUAUUUUCUGUCAUUUAAAAAAUUUUUAAAUGCUGCCGCUACUGAAAUUGUGUUACAACACUGGCCCGACAUUGGUAGGGUACAAGACCUGACCACUGCGUGCACCCUUGACCUUUAAUGCAGUGAUGUUUUUCAACAAAGGGAUAUGCAAUUUGCCAAUAUUAUAUGCGGUUGCUGAUACUGAUAUAAAUAUGUACACUGUUUUUUAAUGUAGAAAAGGCGGAGUUGACCUGCUCCUCUUAUUCUUUCAGUCUGUUUUAGAACCAAAUAAACAAGACAGCAUUAGAUUCAACUGUAGAUGAUAGAUGUGUUUUAAUAUCGUGCAUCCUUCAGGUUGACAAACUGACGCAAUGGAGGCGGGGAUAAACCAGCUACAAUCUUGUACAUGAUAUGUAUGAUUGACAGCAGUCGGAAAUUCUCUAAACUCAAAAGGUGAUGCUUCUCCAUCAUCGUACAGUGAUGCUAUUGCAUGGUUUUCUUUAUGAGGUAUUUUUCAUGGCUUGUUUAUACAAAGGCUCUAUGACGGUUUUGUUGACACCCAAGCAUGGGAAACACAAGCAGCAACCUCCAGAUUUGAGAAAUGAAGCCAACGCGGAAGUGCUGUGAGCUGCAGUUCACUGCUUGAGGCUGUCUGCAAAAGCAACAACAGAGCAAUAAAAAGACAUGUCUGCAGCCUGGUUCAAAAAUGGUUUUGGUCAGAAUAGCUCACAGCACCCACGAUACAGGGAGACAUUUCUUUGUAAGAUGUUUGUCCUCAAGGUUAGAAGAUUGGCAAAUCAGAGGCAGGGCUCACUUGACUGAUCGGCAGGCAUACAAGGAGGUUAAAGGCCCACCAAAAGUUGACCAAAUGCUAUUAUAAAUAUGGGGACCAUUGCUGAUAGCCUUAAGUACUCUGUUUUAGAAGUAUAUGGAUGACAUCACUGAUAUUACAUCCAGUUCUUACACCUUAUACAGGUUAUAGUAAAAACAGAAACUGUAUGGUAUAUCUGGAAGGAUCAUAGCAUCCAAAAAGUCUUACAGGCAUCUUAACCAGGACAGUUUACAAUUCAUUUAAAGUUUGCCAAUUUGUUGUUUUGUCAUUGUUUUAUUACACUGUAAGCUAUUUCUACCAACUCUCUUCUGCUAAAAGCCACCAUAAUAAUAACAAACUGCACCUUCAAUCAAAAAUAACAGGACAACAUAUGAAAUGUUGAUGCUGAGAAAAUUUGAAAAAUGAUGUGCUGUUUGUGAACCUGGUGGCAGCAACACAUCUCUUCUUUUAACAAAACUCUGGAAACUGGUUGCUUUGAUUUUAAAACAGGAAAAGCAUUUCAGCUGCUAAACAACAGAUGUGUUAAGUAUUUUCUGUUCUAUAAUGUGCUUAACGAUAUGAUGCUAAAAUAAUUUAUUCUAACUAGUUUAUACUAAAACUAGGCUAAACAAGACUAGGCUAUCGUUUCAUGAAAGGUAGACCUACAGAGCUGUAAAGUUGAGCAUGUUUUCACCAUUCAACAUAAAAAAAGUUGGCCUCUUGUUAGCUUGUUAACUUGUAUUUUGGUUUGUGACGUAACUGUUUAAUGAAAACUAGCAAAAAGUUUGAUUAUUAACCAAGGGCUGUAUAUACUAUGGACAACUUGCUUCUGCCUUUCGUCAUGAUACGAAUUUGAAGCCGAAUAGCUCUCAGCAUUUCCAGGAUUUUCUUCACUUCCUGAAACCACCACUUGCACAGUAGUGUUGUACGCAUUUUGCCGGAGAGACGCUGUGAUGAGCUUGGCUCAAACAGCGUAACCCCUGGGUGAGCUACGCAACCUUUUUACGCCCAUAGGCUGCAUCAAGUGUCAAUCAUAGAAAACAUGAACCCCUAAUAACCUUUAAAAACUAAACUGCACUGAAAAAAGAGGACUUGAGCACAAACCAGUCUUUCAGUAACUACAUGUCAACAUUGCAAGCAGGGGGGAGAAAAAUUUAUGUUCUGUGUGAUAGAUUUAUAAAGUUUGUCCACAGCUCCAUAGGGAUUGCUGGAGGAGGCGGGAUUUAUGACCUGUACUGCAGCCCGUCAACAGGAGGCAGAUGGCGUACAUUCUAUAUACAGCCUUUGUUAUCAACUCAAGCUGCUGUAACUGUAGCUAAACUUCUCAGUCGUACAAACAUAAGACUGCAGACAGGUAGUUGUAGCGCCAACACUCUUACAUUGAAGUAAAAAUGAAGAACCUAAAGUCCAACAAUUUCUUUGUCGAAUGAAGCUACAACACAGCUGCAUGUUUCUGUUGAUUUACACCGUAUGUGUUUACGUUUUUUUCACACUCAAACACGCUUGGGGGCAACAAUUCUCCUGUCACAACAUCUCUCCUGCUUCUCUCUCAGUGGUCCUAGACCAUUAAGACAGUGUGUGAGAGAGAGAGGGUAGUAUGCAUCAAGCUCUCCAUGCCCAUUACAGUGGUAGUGGAGGACAACUAUCAGGAGAAUAUACUACAGAAACAAGUGGAUUAGGACUUUCUAAUGAGAACAGGCAAUACCUUGUGAUGGAUGACAGCCUUCAUACUGCACUGCCAUGCUCAUGGGUGUGUGUGUGUGCUGAGAAGGCCUUAGUGUACAUGUGUAUGCUGGUGUGUGAUUAACUUUUUGUGUGUGUUUUCUGGUUUUUAUGUGCAUGUCUGCUCGCCAUUAUCGUGUGUUGUCUUUAUGUAUCUGCUCUCAUAGGGAAACUGUGAAAGUAAUGUCCUUGAAUUUCACAUCCCCGCACUAAGGUUUCUUUCUUCCACUUAUUUAUUUAUUUAUUUGCAUCAAAGAAAAACCUCAUUUUUUUUCCCAAGAGGCACAAAAGACCAGCUCACGGAUGUCAAUAAAAAUACUUGCAACACACUCACGCUCCAAGCCUAUUGAAGAAAAGACCCACAGGAUAUUGUUAGACAGGGCGCCUGCUUUCGUCCAGUAUCGUUGACACAUUCACUUGGUAGCACAAUGGAAGCAAAAGCGAGGAGGCAUGGAAGUGUCGGCUGCUUAUACAGUCAAUGGGGCCCUUUUACAAGCUAUUUAAGAGGAUAAAAAGCAUGUCCUUUUCAGCGCGACACCGGUGACAGUGUGUUUCAAAGGCGCUCCAGGGCCAUUUAGGAGCAGUGGCAGCGCCGCACACUUUGAUUAAAGCGCUAUAGUGCAGAAAGGAGAGAGGCAACACUCGGCUAAGUGAAUAUGGAAAUGACCUCCGCCAUCCUCUUUUGCUCCCACGCCAACCUCUCCAAAUGCACAGAGUGGUGCGACAAAGACGAGUACGUCCUGUUUCUGUUUAACGUGUAUGUGCUUUUCUAGUUAAGAUAUAGCACACAAUGGAGGCAUGUGUGAGCCGCAGAGGAGGAGGAAGAAUGUGAUGACCAUGAGCCGUCGGCCAUGAAAAGUGGCUGCAGCCUGCUCAAGUCAUCUUUGUUUGAUGAGCUGAUAUUCCUCCAUUGACAGUAGCACCUUUCAAACUGAGUCUACGACUAGAAACUCUUCUCUACUCUUCUUAUUCCUCCUCUUUUUUUUCCCACUUGGUGACACUGGCGACGUUACACCCUAGAGACUAACAUAACUAAUAGUGAACAUACAGGCACCCAUAAAUUAUCUUUCUCACUCUAUUUUCUCUCUAUAAAUAUUUAGUUUAGGGUAAUAUAUUCCCACAUAGACAGCAAGGACCAGAUAUACGCAUUCAACCCCAACCUGUGCACCUAUAAAAUAAUGAUAAAUUACCAUGAAAGAAAUAGUCUCUUUAUCUAUCUUUGAGAAAAUGCUAAAUCAGACCCGUACACACCUCCAUACUCAUCCUCAUACAUAACUCAGAUCACAUACUCUUGCAUGUGUCCUGUACUCUAGGUUAACUCAUUUGCAUAUGUGCUCUGUUACGUGCCAUUGGCCCUCAAAUGGAUGUGUCCCGCCAUAGAAGAUUCCAGCAAUUAACCCAACACAACAUAGUUGUCAGCUGGUAAUUGACCUAAUUGUUUGGCUUGUCAGCUCCCGUUCUACGUAUUAAGCAUUAAAUAUGCUUGGUGUCAUUAAUCAAAGGAUUAUCAUGUUUCCAGGGGAGGGCGGAUGCACUGUGUCUUGUCCUUGUUUAGCAGUGCGAGGUGUUACGGAGAGUCCGUGAGGUGUUCUCUAACCCCACUUUUCUCCUCCGUACUUGAAUCUCUAUAACAUUUUUACAAGCUUAAAGCCUUUAAUAGCUUGUGAAAGUCCUUAUUUUAUAGCCCAACAACACUCCAUCAAAUUAUCCUCUGGUUUUAUAGCGCACUGUCUUUGCCAAGAAAAGUGGAGUUCUUUGGAUAUUGUGUAAAAUUGAAUUUUGUUUAGCCCGGGUAUAUCGCAAAUCAAAAUCUGUUAUUCCCAACACCAUCAUCCCAUUACUGUAAAGCUCACCACUCCUGCCUUAAUGUACUAUCUGUGAGUGCCAACAUCAUCUCAGCAGCCUGGGUACUUUUCUAUAGGCCCUUACGGAGGAGUGUAUGUGUGUUUGUGUGUGUGUGUGUGUGUGUGUUUGUGUAUGUGCGAGCGGGCAGAUGGCUCAGGUCCAAUUCACAGCUGAUUCACAGCUGAGGCUUAUGUAUUUAGAAGCAGAUUGCCUCCAGGUUGCUAUAAAAGGUGUUGAGCUGCCACUUUUAUUGGAUUUUUAAAGUGAGGAGAUUACAUCCAGUAUAUGUCUAAUGGUUCCCCACACACUGCUCGUUCAGUUUCAGCUCUCCCCUCUGCACGGCUUUUUGUAUUGUCUUGAGCAAACGAGGAAGGGUGUGCUCCCUUAUACCCUGUGCACACACCCAGUGCAUUAAUAACAAUAACAAUAAAAAGGUAAUCAAAUCUGUAAAAACAAUAUGUACUUAAUGUUGGCCCAGGAUCCAUUGCUAAAAGCCCACCUCAUCAAACUGCAAAUUAGUCUCGGCCGUAACUUUAUUACGGCCUGGCCUGCAGACUGGCAGCCAUAAAUAAUUCAACUGCACCGUCUCUGGAAGUGCUGAGAUUUAAUUCUACUGAAUGGAAAGUGUGUGCAUGUGUGUGUGUAUGCACUUGCUUAGAUCCAUGCAUGCCUUCAAGGUUUUGUUUGAGCUCCAGUGUGUAUGUAUUUGUGAAAUUAGACCUCCCCCCAUCCAUGGAAAAACACACACAGACACAAACACCCUCCUCUUUUCCUCUGUUCUCCCAUUGGUAGGCGGCUGCCUUUAGCCUCCUGUAGCAAAGCCUUCCUCACCAGGUAGCGCCAUGGCAACGGGCCCAGCCUCAUCUAUUAGCCAGCCAGUGGCCCAGCCUUCCUAGUUACAACUACCUUGAGAGACCACAGAGACACAGAGGGUGUAGUCAGGAGUUGGGUAAAAUAGAAGAAGAAGAAAUAGGAGAGAUGAAGUUAGAUAAUACCAGAGGGCAAAUGGUUCAAAACUGGAGUGAUGGAUAGUUAAACUCUUUAAACAAUUUAAACCAGACUUCAGAGUAGAUUAAAAAUGCAGAAUAAAAAAGAAAUGUUAUCUUAAUUAUACAUGACAGUGCAGCAGUUAUCAAUGCUAUGGUCUACACAGUGGGAACAAUAGUGAUCAAAGCAGGUUCAGAUCAUAAUUUAGGUUCAGUUACUUUGUAGUUAUUAGAUGGAUAUUAAGAAAAAAAAACAGGCAUUUCAAAUGGCCUGUUAGCUGUAAGUAAGAACAAGUGCCUUUAUAAUAACCAGUAGAGAGAGAGUGUUAUAUGCAAGUCUUGUUGCUCUUAAGACCUGUUGAAGUUAAUAAGGAUUCGAGGAAACGUUCAGCACAGACAGAUCUUUAUAGUAACUGUAACUAAAUGCUGAAUACAGUGCACCCAUUCUUGAGAGUCGGGACAAAACAUGUCCAACAUAGAAAAGUCUAAUUUAUUCAAAACAAUUAAGAAAUUCUAAAUGUUUGACAUACUCAAAAAGUUAAAUCUAAUGGAUUUGUGUAUACCAUUCCUAUUUUUUAGCACAGAUAUUUACUUUUUUGGGGGAUAUUUGUUUAAAUGAAACGUCUGUGGUUAGAAGGUCCAUGUUAUUGCUUGUGUCCUCAGCAAGAGGUCACAAUAUUGACCAGCCCCAAAAAACUUUAAAAAACUCUAUAAUUGUGAAAACAUAUACAUCAAAUAAAAAUUCAGGGCUAUAAAUAUAUAAACAAUGAAUGGCCUGAACAUCAAAUAGCUUUUUGCCUAAAAAUCUGCCUAUCAAAGUUGUGUCCUCAGUUUCUGUCAACUCCAUCAGAUUAUUCUAUAAACCUCAUUAAAUCAUGCAAUAUCAUGGUCAGCUAUAUCCCUGAGGACCCCUUUUCAUUUCCUGCUUCUGGUGAAUGCAACACCACCACACAUGGUCUGGUAGGUUUUACAGUUUUUGAUAUUUUAGACAAACAAUGUCAAUAUUUGUAUGGUCACAGCUGGACCAUGUCAACACCGUCUCUCCAUUAUUAUACUUUUUUUUAAACCAUAGUGAGUUCAAUUAAAGUAUUUUAGUGAGAUUAUCAGGACAGCUAGCAACUGCCAAAAAAGUAGCUAGCUGCACUGUACAAUAAAUGUUUUGGAGGGAAAAUACAUGCCCUUACGUCAACUCCGUCAGACGUCAACUCCGUCAGAUUUUGUGUCUGACGGAGUUGACAUGUAAGCUGAUGGAGUUGACAAAUCCACCUAUAACCUCUUAAUGUGCUGACAUUAUGCUAUUUUUGAACAUGGUUAAGGAUAACAAUGUUAUUCCAGGGUCUUAUCUGCACAUAAAAGUACAUAUAUAGCAUAUAUUACGUUAUUUUACCAUAUACUUCUGUUUUGUAGAGUAGACCAUGGGCAGGCUGUCUGCUUAAUUAUAACUGUCAAACUUUCCCAACACACACACACACACACACACCUAAUCUCAUUGAUUGAUUGAUUAAUGUACAAUCCUAAAGGUGCAGUAUGUAAUUUUCACUACCUAAAAUCUACACACUGGCUUCUUAUAGAGUGCGCAAGAAGUUCUACACUCACCGGUCACUUUAUUAGGUACACCUGUCCAACUGCUCGUUAACACUUAAUUUCUAAUCAGCCAAUCACAUGGCGGCAACUUAGUGCAUUUAGGCAUGUAGACAUGGUCAAGACAAUCUCCUGCAGUUCAAACCGAGCAUCAGUAUGGGGAAGAAAGGUGAUUUGAGUGACUUUGAACGUGGCAUGGUUGUUGGUGCCAGAAGGGCUGGUCUGAGUAUCUCAGAAACUGCUGAUCUACUGGGAUUUUCACGCACAACCAUCUCUAGGGUUUACAGAGAAUGGUCUGAAAAAGAAAAAAUAUCCAGUGAGCGGCAGUUCUGUGGGCGGAAAUGCCUUGUUGAUGCCAGAGGUCAGAGGAGAAUGGCCAGACUGGUUUGAGCUGAUAGAAAGGCAACAGUGACUCAAAUAACCACCCGUUACAACCAAGGUAGGCAGAAGAGCAUCUCUGAACGCACAGUACGUAAAACUUUGAGGCAGAUGGGCUACAGCAGCAGAAGACCACGCCGGGUGCCACUCCUUUCAGCUAAGAACAGGAAACUGAGGCUACAAUUUGCACAAGCUCAUCGAAAUUGGACAAUAGAAGAUUGGAAAAACGUUGCCUGGUCUGAUGAGUCUCGAUUUCUGCUGCGACAUUCGGAUGGUAGGGUCAGAAUUUGGCGUCAACAACAUGAAAUCAAUAACAACUAAUAAUCUGAGUCAGCACAUACAUUUAGAUCUAUAUCGAUAUAUUCUGAUCUAUAUCUGAUCUGAUGAGCGCAUUUGGCAUGCGUUUGGACACUCAACCUGACCAAAUUAACACAGCUGCUGAAUCCGCAUGAAAUUGAAUCAAAUAUCUAGUAAAUAAACACACAUGAUAUAGUUAACAAGAUAUUUAAUUUGUCUGCCCCCAUUUCUAGCUUCCUCUUCCUCUUAUUUCUCGCGCAGCUUAACCUGGACAUGUCUCUGUGUCCUCUACCCGUCCUGCUGCAGCUGCUGCUGCGGCAGCUGAACAGAUGAUUUGUUCCAGUGAUCAGAUGAGUUUUUUACUUUAAGCCUACAUACAAAUAUUAUAAUAAUCAGUUUUGUGAGCCAAAUUUAUUUUAUAUGCCAACAUCUAUGAAAGAAAGAGCCAGGCCACGGAGCGCGAUCUACACACAGAUUGGUUCCGAUUUUAAUGCCAUUAUUGGAAUUUAUGUUGUGACCUUUGCGCACAACCCACCUUUGUCACGUGAGGUUUAAAUAUAUGCAAUUUAAUGUGAUUGUCUUUAUUUGUGGAAAAGGGUGUUUGUCUUACCAGUGGGUCCAACAUUACACACACCAAAUCCAUCUGUGCUUAUAUGAGACGCCCAAUGCAGCGCUUACAGUGACACUUGUUGAGGAGCUGCCUUCUGUCGCCAUCGUGUGGCAUUGCUGUCUUCAGACAUCUCUUGAUCUCUUUGACUACUUCACGAAAAUGGUAAUACGCCUCGCUAGUGGCGGAUUCAAAGGCGAGAAGAGCUGAUGUUAUUGGUCAAUACAGGUCUCGGCUGUGUUAAACCCACUCAACGCCCUCUCUCCUCCCUCCCUAUGACCUACGCCGCUGGAAGGAGCUGAGUUAGGGGAGGGGGGAUACUUAUGCCGGGCUGCACAACUCACCAAAAUACGAAAAUGUGCUUGGAAACGCCUUGUCGGCGCGGUGGUUAAUUGCAUUAACGGUAUGUUCAGUAUGAAAACAAGGAGUUAUUAGUUCUUAAUCUAUUUUCACCUAUUGACCUAUUGUCAAUCGGUUUAAAAACACAUUUGUUCAAUAACAUAUGCAAUGUCAUCAACUCCGUCAGUUUCUCGUCAACUCCGUCAGGUGUUCGUCAACACCGUCAGAUGUAUGUUUUUCUUCAAUUUUGGAGAAAAAAAAAAUUGUUUCUUCAGUUUAUAUUGUUUAAGUAAUAAAGGAGCAUUGGCGCUACAUCCUCUUGUGUCUUAUUUACUUACAGAAAUUGUUUUUACAAUAUAAAAAUUAAAAACAAAGUUUGAAAAUGCAACUAUUUAGAAAUCUUGGUUUUCAAAAUAGUGUGAAAUCACACAUUAGGUUUAUAUAUUAUAUUUCAUGGCAUAUCAGAGUAACUAAACACUAUUACAACAUACAUCAGAACUUUAGAUUCUUGUUGGACUAGAAUUAUUAAAAUUAUAUUCUUUUUUGAGUGUCUGAUGGAGUUGACACAAAUCCACUGUCUAAGGGAAACAUGUUAAUUUAUAGAAAAAAUGUUUUUAUUUAGAGCCUGUUCCUUUACGGGGUUAAAUAGCUAAGACCUUUCUCUACAGUAAUAAAUAACUCUAAUCAAUAUAGUGUGCAUUCUCAAAAAAAGUUUUUUAGGAAGUGUUUUGUCCCGACUCUCAAGAAUCCCUGAGUGAACGUAAUGGCAACAAUAUAAAAGAUGAAUCAAAAAGAAACAGAGAGGAGAAAAAUGUGUCUGUUAGAGCUUUGCAGCUGAGUGCAAAACUUGUCAUGCACAAGUUUGUGCUAAUGUUGGAUCAAUAUAUAUCGGCCAAUACUGAAGGCUACAAUAUUUAUAUCAUAUCGAAAGUAAAAAAGUUGCAUCGGGACACCCCUAGUGUAGCUGUUUUAAAAAAUGAGACACUUCUCAUUGACUAUAGCUUGCUCUGAAGGGGCUUGGGUUGAGAACUGGGAGCUGAUCCUGUCAAGUCCUGGUACAGACCAAAGCAUGGAUAUUGGACUGGUGAUAAAUAAGCGACUAGAAGUCACUUUUCACUCUAGCAGUAUGAGUACUUCUCGCUUGAAAAAGGUGUUAUCAUUAUUUUUAUUUUUGGUCUUCUACUUAAGUGUGUACUCUUGUCUGGGACAACAUUGAGGUGGCAUGUAUCAAACAACACCUCGACUCGACUCAUCUCAACUGUAAAAUGUAAACGUGUUGAUUGGUGACUCUGUUACCAUCAGAGGUACGAAGGAAACGCUCAACUAAACAAGACCGAUUUAGAGACAGUCAGUACUUUUUCAAAAUAAAUCUUAUGAAGUAAAGUGUUGCUCCACCUGUUCUCUCUACUCUUGUUGUUGGUCUCUAACUGCUGUCAGAGGGCUGUGCAGUUAAAGGAUUUAUUUUAAGAGCAGAAAAAUGACUUAAAGAUCCACACUACGACUAGUAAAAUUGUAUUGAGUCUUUUAAUCAUUUUAUGCGCUUUAAACACACUGCAUAUCUUGUAUAAAUUCCUGUGUUUUUGAAAUAUUUGUAUGUAUUAGGGCUGGGCGAUAAACCGAAUAUUUACCGAUACCGAAAUUUAUGACAAUAGCCAAUGUCAUUUUGCCCAUGUCAACAUAUUCAGUGUCAUAAAAAUAAAUAAAUCAAAGUUGGUUUUAGAUGUGUGUUGGUAGUCUAUGGUCUCAUGUCCCUUUAAGACACUGUCCUAUGUCGGAGACGUGACUCCACCCCAGGUGAGGAGAUGGAGGACGGUUCAAAAGUUGAAGCGGCUGACCCGGCGAUCAUGUGUACGACUCACCCAGUGGCUCAAUAUAUUGUGAUAUCGAUUUGAGGCCAUAUUGCCCAGCCCUAAUUUAUAUUACAGAAAAGGAAAACUAGCAUUUAAAUAUCAUGCAUCCAUACUCUAAAUUAAGACAGCAGAAUCCUGAUAUCUUGUUUGGACAGCACCCAUAUCAUCUUACUUUUUGUUUAGACCAUCGUACCUUGCAGUCGUUUAGGGCCACAUAAUCCUGCUACAAUAUAUAUUCAUAUUGUUCAUCAUCCUGUCACAGCUUGUGGAGCUGUCUAUCUGACAGUGCAGGGAUCUUACCCUUCACUUCCUGCUCCAUGUUCUGUCCAAAAGUUAUAGACCUCCCAAAUCAGUGAGUAGACAGCUGUAGUAUGAACCCGUGCUUCAGGACAGAUGGAAACUGUCUGUUGCACACAGAAAUGUCAUCACUGUACCUGCAUCAUGCAUCUUCAUUAACAGAGCACGGAUAGGCACCAGGGGAAAUAUACCCAGUUUGAUGGGAAUGCUCAAGUGUAGUAUGUUAAGCUCAAUGUGGAGCACAGCAGGCAAUUUGAAUUCAUUGUGUGUGCAGAAUCAGCCUAUUAGUGGCAUUUAGCUUUCAGUGCUGCAAAGUCUACACAAAUAGUGUGUCGGCGUGCCUGUAGGAGUGUGUGUGUGUGUGUAUGUGUGCAAUAUACUGCAAGGCAAAGUGACAACAAGAGACCUUAACAUCGUAAUGCAUUGUGUGGUGUAGAAGUGGUGCACAUUAUCAGGCUGCUGUAUACUCUGACAUCUGCUCCUUGUUCAGUAGGAGAGAGGGACACUAUCCUCUGGGUAGGGCUGAGGUGGUUUGAUGAAGGGGAAGGAGGGGGAGGCUAAGGUCUCACUUGUAAUUGAGGAGUGGAAUGAGGAAAUGUGGACAGGAAAAAGGAAAAUGGUUGGAGAGAAGUGUGGGUGAUAUGAGAAAUGUUUUUUGCUUGCACCUCCCCUCUGUGUGCGUGCGUGUGAGGGAUCAUGUGUACGACUCACCCAGUGGCGAGAGCAGAGGUUGUGGGUGCCUUGAGAUGGAGCUUGAUGGCAGGGUAUAGUAGUGGCUGCACUGAGGUAAUGCAGAACUCUCUCUCUCUCUCUCUCUCUCUCUCUCUCUCUCUCUCUCUCUCUCUCUCUCUCUCUCUCUCUCUGUAUGUGCGUGUGUGUAAGAGAGAAACUUGAAGAUUGUAACACAGAGGCAAUAUCAGCGGCAAUAUUGGUGGUCUUAGAAGGGGCUUGAGCGAGCAAGACCCGAGGGAGUUUGUUUCUCUCUCUCACUUACUUUGUCGGUCCCUCCUUCUCUUUUUGUGUGUGUUUGUGUGCGCCCGUGUUUGUGUGUGUUUGUGUGUAAUGGAGCAGCAGCUCUGUGCCUGCAAAGCGCAAUCAGUUCCACCAAGCUGACAUUCCACCAGCGCCUUCCUUCCCUCUGCAUUGCCUCGCUUCACCCCCACCGCCAUCACCCCGCCCUGAGUCUCGGCAAGGAUGCAGUGGCGUGAGCGAUAAGGCCAAUAUUACUUUGGGAUAAAAGUGGAAUUAGCUUCCUGCUGUGAAAAAUGGGCACAGCGAGCUGUGAUGGAGCGCCAGGGGGUUUCAGGAGGGGGGGGGGGGGACAGGGCUUUACAGGGUGUGUAAAAAGUCUGUGUGUGUAGUGAGGAUUUUUUUUUUUCUUGGGGGCGUUAGGGGGGGUUAGUUGUUCUAAUAUUAUUUCACCACUUUGAGAAAAGUAGCCUCACAACAACCCUUCAAUGUCAAAAUCAAAGAGAAAGAGAUAUCAUAGGACAACAAACCCCUGAGGACGAGUAAAAUAAAUCCAACCAAGUUAGAUUAUAGCAAGUGCAAUGUGGCAAAGGUUUGUCAGAUCUGAUACUCUCUUGUAGGGCUGGGCGAUAAAUCGAAAAUUUACCUAUAUUGAAAUUUACAAUAACCAACGUCAUUUGGCCCAUAUCAGUAUAUUCGGUGUCAAAUAAAUAAAUAAAAGUUGAUUUUGGAUGUGUGUGUGACUCCACCCCAUCCAGUCCAUAACAAAGAUGGAAAGACAGGUGAGGAGAUGGAGGACGGUUCAAAAAUUGUAGCGGCUGGAGCGGUGGCUGAAGUAGAGGAAGUUAAUGUGGGAAGGGUUGAGCAACUUGUGGAGUAGUUAUCGUCCAUUUAUCGUUAUCAAGGUGAACUGCUUGAUAUAUCAUGAUAUUGAUUUAAGGCCAUAUCGCCCAGCCCUACUUUCUUGCUCUCUUCAGCUAGAGCUUAUUUUUAAGAGAGACCCCUGCUCUCUCUGGAUGGUCACUAAUUUUGCUCAAAACAAAAUGUUUGCUUUCUCUUAUGAACAGUUAUUUUAUCCUUACCUGUUUUUCUAUGUAAAUACCAACCUCCUGUUAUGAAAUAUAAAUUAGCAAACUGCAGUUCCUUGAGUGUCCACUUGUGGUGGGCUCCAGAAGAUCUAGAAGUUCUGUAAAACCCAUGUUAAAUCAAACAUGAUUACAGACUGCUUCAAAAACAAACAUAGUGUUGGUGCCAUCAACUGCAUGAAGAAUGGACGCUGUCUGCCUCCUCGCUGGGUGAAGUCACCGUGAGAACAGCACCCUCUGGUGACGGGCUGCAGUAUAGGUCAUAAAUCCCACCUCCUCUGGCAAUCUCUAUGGAGCUGUAGGCAAGCUUUAGAAACUAAUUACACAGAAUAUACAUUUUUCUCCCCCCUGGUUACGAUAUUUACAUGUAGUUACUGUCAGACUGGUUUGUUUUCAAGUCCCCUUUUUUCUGUGCAGCUUCAUUUUUAAAAGUUAUUAGUUUUCUAUGAUUGACACUUGAUACAGCCUAUGGGUGUUCAAAGAUUGCAUAGCUCACCUGUUUGAUACGCUGUUUGAGCCGAGCAUCACCACAGCGACUCUCAGUGACUCUCGCCGAAUGCGUACAACGCUACCAAGCAAGUGGUGGUUUAGAAGAGGUGCCAAGUGGAGACGAAAAUCAAGAAAUGAGAAAGAGAAAAAUGAAAAAGGGAAGGGGAGAAAGGGGAGAAAGGGGAGAUUUAAAACAAGCAAAGCUGAUGGGAUCCAAAGACUACAGCCUGAGGGGUCUUUUUGUGUUUCAGAGUCCCCAGAGGUGGACUCUAUCCUCACUUGUAGAGCACAUUGAAACCUGUCAUGAAAUUCAGGCUCGGUUUGAGAUGGUUUAGCCUCCCAUUUACACAUAAACCUUUACCCAGUGCGGCCAAACCCUCAGUGUUGUUUUGCUGUUGCUCUCAUUUAGGUGUAACACCUCGUUUCUUAACACAGCCCACUUGCCUGAGGGAAGAAAGGUUGGAGGUGAUAUAGCUUAUCAUUGUCCAGAUCAGGGUAAAUACAGUACAGGAAGGGAUCUGAAAUAUUGAUGAAGGCCCCACAUGAAGCCUGCAGCUCUGAAGUCUGGCUUCUAUAGAGUGCUUUAUCAUUCUAGGCUGUAAAUGAGCAGCAGAAGAGGGAGAGGCCCUCAGGGCAGUUAGUGAGAGCCAGGAGCUAGGCUCCAACCAAGGACCUCCCUCAAAGAUAAAAACAGAGUAUUUAGAUGAACAUAUUCCUCUCUCUCUUGUAUUAAUUAGCCUUCAUUUAUGCUUUAUAGUCUCUGAAGUUCAUCUCACUAAGAACAGAUUUCUGCACCAGUCUGUAUUUGCUCCGCUCUGUGUAAAGACUAGUCUAUUUUUCUUUCAUAUGUAUAAAUUCGAUAUAAUCUGGCUAUUGAGUAGAAGCGGCAAAGUUUGAUUUCUGCUUCAUUUCCUGAAAAUCUAUGAAAACCAAAAGGGAGUUAUCGUUUCUAGAAGAACAGAAAUUGCCCGGGCUGAAACUGCUGGAGGCAGAACUCUCUUUGACACAAAAACUGUCAUCCAAACAGAUUUUGUUACAUUUCAUUUUAUGGAAAUGAGAUUUCAAUUUUUGCACUUCCCAUUAUCCUGUUGCUGUUGGCUCAGUUUGAUUCUGCAGUGUACCCCAGACUCUUCCAUUUGUAUUUCUGCCCCUUUUUUCUCACCAACAUCAGAUGCUUUGACAUCAGGACACAGCCAGCAGCUCUCCCCGCGACACGUCUUUGAGCUUUUUUUGUUAUUUGACACUUUCAACAUUGCUCUCAUUUACAUAUUUAGCGUAAUCCCUCCCUGUGGAGCUGCCCAUGAUAACGACCAUGUUGCGAAAUGAGUGGCGGUGCGUGUGCCAGCGAGCCAUGUGGGCUCAGGGGCUCUGAGGUUUGCCAGUUGGCACCGCGGAGAGGCUGCCAAGGUUGGUAGCUGUAAUUGAAAAGGGUCAGCGGCUAUGUUGACUGAUAAGGGGAAGAAGCAGGAAACUAGAGAAUAAAGGACAGAAUGAGGGAUGUAUUAAAAAAGUUAGAAAGUGAAAGAUGAAGACUAGUUCAAUGAGAUAACUGGGGGUUUUAUAUAAUGAUGGGGAGGGUGCUUAAGAGACUAGAACUCUUGCCCCGUGUCACGCUGCUACACACUCCCAUUUAAAUCAGUUAAUUGGUGCGAGGCUGCGUGGAGGGAGAUUGACGAGUGUGUUGCCAUGAGACGACUUGGCUGCUAACUAAGAGGAGCUCUGGGAGGGAGGGGAAUGAUUCUGUGUGAGCUUGCAUGAAUAACCUUUUGCAUAAAUCUGUGUGCAUUUUUGCACUCAUGUGUCUGUGUGCGCACACUUGCAUGUCGUGUAACUACACGUGGGUGCGGUUGUAUUUGGGGAGCGCGGGGGGGGGUUAACAGUCGAGAAACAGACAGCAGAGGAGGGGUUGAUGGGGGGCUGUUGUAAUCUGUGGGGGUACCCGUGUGAAACAAGCGUGGAAGGUGGAGAGGGAAAAUCUGUUAUUUUGCGUAAUUAGCUCAUAAUUGUGUCUCUGACUGUCAGUGAUUGCUUUGUUUAUUAGAGAGAGAGGGGCAAAUGAACUCCUGGUGCUUUGACUCAAUGUCUGCAAUUCCUGCUGUCAGUAUUUGUCAUUAACCGUGUGUCCCAUGAGGUCCUGUUUGUUUAUGUACAGUAGACAGUUGGGUUAUUGGUAUUGUAGUAAAAGAUAACCUCAGUCAGCAUGACAGUGUGUGGUAAAGAGGAGGACUUUUUCUUUCUCUGUUGUUCUGCCAUUGACUCAUAAUUCACUCAACUCUGGUUAGACUCCACUUAUUGUCAGAGCAGGCGUUACUUUCAAAAGAAAACUACAGUCAAAUCCAGGGAUGGGAAUUGAUAAGAUUUUAUCCAUAUCGAUGCCAUUAUCGAUUCUGCUUAUCAAUUCAAUUCUUGAUCGAUUCCCUCAUCAUUGCUUGUCUUCAAUUAAAAAAAAGGAGACUAUAGUUUUUCACCAUUAAAGGUGGGGUAGGCAGGAUCUGAGGAAGUGCCAGUUUUUGGGAGAAAUCUUGAAUGUAAACACUACCCCUUCCAACCAGUUUUCCCCUCACUAACUUUGUAUGGGCUCGUGCACGUCAUUGGAGGACGUGGAGCAUGCCUCACAACUUGAGGAAGCAGCAUCUGCCCAACAACCAAUCAGGUCGGGGAGGCAGAGAAUGGCUUUGUUUACAGUCAGAAAGAGUGGGCCGCUCAAAAAUGUUAAAAUGUUGACUACACAGACAUAACAAAACACAGCGAUAUCGUUUCAUUCCUAAAUGUCAUCAAUAACUAAUUGGUUACUAACUAAUAGCUAUUGACUGAUUUUAAAAGCUUUUUUGUAGAUACACCACAAAAAAAGAUGGUUCUUUAAUGGAAUCCUGCCUACCCCACCUUUAAAUGAGAUCAGAUGGAUUGUAAACAUCACCAAAAGAAGUACCUCCAAACCUGCAUUCGUAUAAAGCGUAUAUUAUCAUUCCAUGUAGUGUUUUUACUCUGCUGUGCACAAGUUUCAGAGGAAGGACCCAGGGGGCAGCACGAACAUGGAGUUCUGAUUUGAGAGAAAUGCUGUGCGGUUUGGGGUGCAUCCUUGUUGUGAAUUCCCAGCAUGUCUGAAGCACUUUACUUGGAGAAAUGAUAACCGCCUGAGACUGUCUCUGAGGAAGCACAUGAGCAGACCACUGAAAUACUGUGGUUCUCAGAGACAAAGUAACAACAGUAAUGGAACUGUGCCGGCUUGCUUGGGUAGUUAAACAAAGCACCUCGCUCCAAGAUGUGCACUUUUCUAAUGAUUAUUUUUAGGGUUUUUGGAUGAGACAGCUCGAGUGAAACAGGAAAUAUAAUGAAAGAAGGAAAGAGAGGAGAGGAAAAGAAAAUCAGAAGUUUUGCCUCACUCUUGGUGCAGACUGGUCUUACCUCUGUACUUCUGUUUACUUCCCUUGUGCCCGUCAAGUUUGAUGUUGGCAAGUAACAGCCUUGUAAAAAUAUGACUAACUGCAUGAUUGUGGGUUUUAACCAAUAACACGCUCGUCUAGAGCGUUUAGCAAAUGUAACUUCUGUUAAAUCUCAUUCUGUUCAAUAAUAAACGUCUUAUUUCUGCCAUAAGUACCCGGUUGCUAUAUUGUUGAAAUACCUUUUAUGUGAGUUAGCAUGUCAGGAAAUUACAUAUAUUUUUAGUAGAAGUUGCACAAUUCAAAUAGUGAAUAGAAUCAAUUUCUAAAAGGCCAGCUCAGAUGUAAAAUAGACUCCUGGGUUUUAAAAAGUCUGAAACUGGGGAGCACUGGCCGUGAACGCUCCAUAUACUGAGGGUAUGCCACAAGCGGACAACCCAUGUUUGAUCCCAGCCUGUGGCGUCUUUCCUGCAUUUCACCCCUUGCUCUCUCUCCCUAUUUCCGGUUCCAUCCACUGUUCCAUCCUCUUUACAAAGGCUUUUCAUUAUUUUGUAAUACUGGGGUGUAAUCUGCUACAAAAAGCAAAAGAAAAGAAAAAAUACUAUGAUAGAAUUUUUUUGCCAUGUUGGUCACCCUUAAUAGUUCCUAAAAGCCAUUAAGCCAUUAGUUUUUGUUUGAACCAAAUCAAGUCAAGCUAAUGUUUAUUUAUAGAGCACAUUUAAAAUAAACAGGUACAGCUGAACCAAAGCACUUACUCUAAGCUGGUAAACUGCCCUGAAUUUCUAUUUACCACGAGUAAUUUUAGAGGAACUGCUUUUACCUAAAAGUGUCAGUCAGAUGGAGGCAAAGUGCCCAGAUAAAGUUUUAAAUAGGGGUGUCCCAAUACAAUUUUUUUUUUUUUUACUUCCGAUAAAAUUCUGAUAUUGUAGCUUAAAGUAUUGGCUGAUAUCGUUGUUGAUAUCUGAUAUUGGCACAAACUUAUGCAUGACAAGUUUUGCACUCAGCUGCAACGUCUUUAUCAGACUUUUUCGUGAUUCGUCGAGUUUAGUCUCUUUGCUGAAGAAAUUAGGCAAAGCUAAAAAGAUGUUUGAUGGCUAGUGCUGUGGCCGAGACCCUAUAUGUACUAUUGAUGAAGUUAGGUGCUGUUCUGAGCAUUAUUUGUUGCUAUAGAGUGGCGUUUUGGUUGAGGUUUGUUUAUGGCUCUGCAGACCACUGUGUAUUGUUAUCAUGCGGUCAUUACUAAAGUUGAUAUAACUAGAGAAGCCAGCGGUCAGUAACAUUCAUCUCUCGAGGAGUUGUCUAACUCGGUGUUACAGUGUGUUUGACCCUAAAUUAAUUUUACACUGGAAUAUCCCUUUAAAGUCAGCACUCCAAAGACAAACCUUAACUCUAACUCUACAUUGUGUGUAACAACUGUAAAAGCGUUUAUUUGUAUCGCUGUCUACUCAUAUAAACCCACGCGUGCACUUGCAGUUUCGAGCUGUAAAUUAUGGAAACCAUGCGAAGGCUUUUGCUUUAUUCUCCAUCUCUCCCGCUAUUCUUCCCUGUCUCUCACCUUCGCACAUUAUGAUAUAGAUAUUCUCACAGUGAAAGUACCAAAUGACCUUCAGCUGUCUCUCUACUGCUCUUCGCUUCUCCUCUUUCUGUUGUCUUCUAAAAAUAGACCCCCCCUUCCCAAUCAUCAGUGGAGUGCUGCGGCUGGCCCUGUAGGCACAGGCUUUGGCAAGAGGGUGCCAGAGAUGAGCCUAAUUAACUCAUUGAGAUGAGGAGAGCAAGGUGGAGGGGGGUUGGGGGUGAGGUAAAGAGAGAGAAAGAGGGACAGAGACGGGGGGGUGGGGGUGAAUAAUGACAAAGAUGGAGAUGGUGAAAGAUGGAGUGGUGCAAAGAGGAAGAUGAGGAGGAAAAGGGGAGUUAGAGGAGGAGAUAAUGAGAAGGAGGGGUCAGCAACAGAGAGAGGAGAGGCAAAGAAAGGGUCUCUGGGGCAAGGAUAUAGUAGUGAACAAGGGAGAGUGAUGGAGAGGAGCACUAAUUAGACGAAGGACCAAAGCUCCUCCUCACGUUACACGGCAGGAGAGGAGGAAUGGAAGAAAGGAGGAAUGAAGAUAGAUGAGUCGGGCAGCUGCAGCGCAAAGAUAUGAAAAGGAAAUAUGUAAUCUUCAAUAAAGAGCAAGCGAGUGACGGCAAUCUAGCCAACUCAAUUAGCCCAUGUCUAUAAAACAAACUGCUCUUAAUCGGCUCUGUCAGACACUCAUAGGCAAAUGAACUGGCUGCUUCCUGCAGGGAGCAAGGAUAGAGAGGGGAAAGAGAGAUAACGACAAAGAUGGAGACACCCCAUCACCACCACUCCACCUCAUAGCACUUAUCUGACAUCCGUACCAGUGGCUAAGGAUGUUCAUUUUGUUACCUCCUCAUUUUCUCAACAUACUCUAUUGCUGUCCUCUCUAUGCUGCCUCUAAUCCUUUUGACCUCCUUCAAGGUAAACAGUUAAAGUGCAUAUCAAUACCUUUAUCUAUUCCCAUAAUGCUUUAUCAGAGCUAAUUUCUCAUAGUUUUGCAUUUGAUCACCUUUUUAGACCUUUUUGCUCCUAAUGUCUUCCUAUUGUCCGUUAUCUGCUACAAUAACCCUAAAAGGUUUCGUUUACUUAACCUCAAACUCUCUCCUUAGAAGAUAUGUAGAAACUAUAUAAACAUUAGAAACAUUCAAUGCAGCAUUUCAUCUUUUUGUAGAGUGAAGUGCUGAUGAUCAUACUCUUCCUAUUUAGCUGUCUCUUGGUUGUUGAUUUAACUUUGUGUGUGGUUAUUGUAUAAAGGCUAUCCUUGUCGGUUCAGUCAGUCAUAUGCUUAAAAAACUUUGUUUCACUCGCAAUAUGUAGAAGUUGUUCGAUCAUGUUCUUCUCUGAACUUAGUGCUUAGUUUUGCAUUUUUUAAUUUUGAUGACUUCGAUAUCUCAGAUGGCUUCCUCACUAUCACUUUCCACCUGAGGGGGACCAGUCACACUGUUGUGGUGACAAAAAUGUAAGACAGCUUAUUGACUCUGAUCAUUUAGGGCUAUAAAAACAACUCUUGGAUUGGCAAAGGAAAGCCUAGAUUUUGUCUCACAAUAGGACAUGUAUGUUAGAGCUGGGCGAAAUGGCCUAAAAACAAUAUCACGAUAUAUAAGCAGUUCACCUCGAUAACGAUAAAUGGAGGAUAACUACUCCACAAGCUGCUCACCACCUCCCACAUUAACUUUGUCUACUUCAGCUGCUGUUCCAGCCGCUCCAACUUUUGGACCGUCCUCCAUCUCCUCACCUGUCUUUCCUCUCAGUUACAGACUGGAUAGGGUGGAGUCAUGUCUCUGACGUAGGACAGCGUCUUAAAGGGACAUGAGACCAUAGCCUACCUACAUACAUCCAAAACUAACUUCUAUUUAUUUAUUUUUUUGACACCAGAUAUAUUGACAUUGGCAAAAUGAUGUUGGUUAUUGUCCUAAAUUUGGUAUCGGUAAAUUUUCGGUUUAUUGCCCAGCCUUUAUGCACGUGGCUUUAUAGCCCUGGACAAACUUCAAACCUCUGUCCAGGGCUUUUUUUCAUGCUAAAUCCCACUGAAAACAGGGUUUAAAUUUUGAAUCACAAAAACCAUCAUACUUACUUUUUAUUUAUUUUUUUGUUCUAUUUUAGGCACUCACUGGUUUCCAUUCAUUUCCAUUUGAAAUUUAUCAGCCCACUGUUCGAAACCAGCGCAAUGACUGUCAGGUCUGCAUUAAUUUAGUCUUUAGUUACAUUAUUAUAGUGAUUUAAUUUAUUGUAGAGUUGUGAAAAUAAUCUAUGUUUAAAUAUGCAUUACCACUCAGUAAUAAUGGAACAUUGACACAAAUUUAUGCAGACUCGAUGCCUUUACUAAUGGCAGCCAGCGCCCUGUCUUUAACUGCAGGAAAAAUACAUUAAGGAAUCUAAUGAAUUUGACUGAAAUGUCAUUGGGUUGAUCCAUGUACAGAGAAGUCCAAGUCUAUCAAAAUGUGCAAAAUGUAAGGCAUUAAAAGAAAAAGUUUGGCAGAAACAUGAGUAUAAUAUUCAUCACCAAAGUUGUAAAAAUGCAAAUAUCCAAGUAUUUUGAUUAAAGUUGCAUCAAGUUUUGUCUUGUUUUGGUUUUUAACUCACAGCCUGAGCCAUAGCUCUCUGUGCCUGCCCCGCUGUCUUGCAAUUGGUGGCCCCAGAUGAGUGUCCUGGCGCAGGCUCGCUGUAAUUACUAAACAGGAGGAACAAGUAGGCUAAUUAACACGUUAACAAGCAGCAACCAGCCGACAAGAGCCUACAGCACCGCCAACCGAGGGUCUGACAGCUUCAUCCCCCAUCUGUCACCAGACACACAUGCGCACAGACGUGCCCCUGUGUGUGCAUUUGUACGUGUGCCUCAGCGCACAAUAGCGUCCACCCCUUCUGCAUAGAGGAGGUGAGUGGAUAGUGUUGGAGAGUGGUAGAGUUGAGUGCCUUUUGUUCAUGGUCGUUGUUGGUGCAUUUGUGCUGCAGUGCACAGGUGUCCCUGCUCAGGUAUGCCAUACAUCACAGUUGGCAUCACCCAUCUCUGUGCAUUCACCAACACAUCAUGGAAACAAAAAGUUGAUUUUAAUUGUGAUAAAUGUUAUUGGAAACUAUAUCGAAACUCCAACCCUGAUAUUUCUUUAAUUGUCGUGGUGACCCGAACAUGAAGAAAAGCGUAUCAAACCAAAAGAAAGGUGCAUGUUUCCACAUGGUAGUUAUAUUGGAGCACCAUGUAAUUUAACUCACAUUCAUUCUGACAGUUGUGGUUUCUUAAAAAGAGAACUUUUCAGUGGGCACAGACAUGGCGCUGAGCUUUUGAAAAGGUUUUGAGGAAGGUUAGUCAUCAAAUAGGCAAGAAAGUUUUAAUCGUGGUGGAGUACGUCAGGACAAGGUUUGUGUCGCUGAGAGUAGAAAGAAAAGAUGAGGAGAUCAUUGGAAAACAAACAUCCAGCCUUUAUAGAAAUUUCAGUCGGUUUGUAAUGUCUCUUCAUGGUCAGCAAUGAGAAUGUAGAGGAAAAAAUAAAAGCAUGGCACACAUGGUUAGAUUCAUUUCAAGUCAUUUGGCGACAGAAACAAAUUGUUGAUGCAUAACAAUCUCACCAAGUGAGGCACAAUAGCUAAAACUAGCUAUGUUACAGUCUGAUCUGUGUGAUAACUUGAUUCCAGAGAGGCCCCUAAACAUUGUAAAGAGAGCAGUUUUAAUCGUUCCUCACAUAGAUAGAGUGCACCGCUCAUUGUCAGGUACCUUGGCUGUAUUGAUCUGACUGCAAAGACAAAAUAACUCCUGGAUCUCAUCCAGGACAAGACUGAAGGUUCCUCUGAGAUAGUGUCUUCCUUUUUAAUUCAAUUUUAUCAUUUCAGAAAGUAAGUAUGUGUUGUAUAUUAGGGAUGGUAUGGUGUUGUAAGCCCACAACUCAAUAUAGUACCUAAAAAGUUUAACAAGACUGAAAAACCCACUCUGACGAAAAUCAUGUUUUUCUUGUUGUCUACAUGUUCAUAUGGCAUUUUUUUAAUGCAAAAGGACGUGAGAAAAAUAAGUACAAAAUUGCAUUUCUGCAUUGAAAUUGCUGUGAAUCUCUGGCAGACCCAAACAGCAGGAUCAGACACAGUGAGAUUUUCUAUGUCACAAUUCCAAGCUCCACCCCCCAGAGCCCUGCUAUGCAGGCCAGACUCGGAGAAAUAGAGAAGAAGAUUGCGGGACAAGCGCGUGUGUUAGCGGAUUGCAAUGCUCAUGAUUUUGACUAAAAACAUCAUAAUCAUAAUUUAAAGGCCACUGAUAAUACUUUAAGUGGUAAGUAUUAUUAUUAUUAAAAACAAUCAGAGUGGGACUUUAAAGGAAGAAAAUGGAGAUGCUCGUCACAAACAUAUGUGAGGAGUGCAGAGCAAGUGAACACUAGUUUUUCAAUCAUAGAUGGUGAUCAUGGAUGAGUGAUCAUAAAACAAAGAAAAAUACAGGCAAAUAUAUUUGAGUAGGUGUAAAUAUAUGUAUCGACUCUGUCCGCCAUCAUGCACCAGUUCUUUCCUCCUCCAUCAGUUCUGCUCCUCUCUCUCUCUCUCUCUCUCUCUCUCUCUCUCUCUCUCUCUCUCUCUCUCUCUCUCUCUCUCUCUCUCUCGCUGCCAGGUUCUGCCAGCUGUGUCAGCACGGCCCACUAGGGUUAACCAGCAGCGGUUAAUGUGGAACACGGCCAUCUGGCACAGAUACAGAGAGCCCUCUAUUACCGUCACAUUGCUGGUAUACCAUUACAUGGAGAUGAAUACGUCUAGACAUGAUCAAUUGGACAGACAAUCUCUGGUCUGAUACCAACAACCGGUCUGCUGCUCAGUAAGGCCGGGUUUAGACUUAGGUCAUUACAGAUGUAGGGACUAGAUUAUCGGGCAAUUUGAGAGAUUAACAGACCUAGAUUUAAACCCCCCAGACAGUUUGCACACUCAAUUUAGCAGCCAAACCUGUUAGGAUUCAAAAUGAUCAAAAUUAACCAAGGACAUACAGAAGUUUGCAUUGAUAGGGUUUGCCGUUGACACACUCGGCUUUCUUCAUUUGAUCUAACAGGACAAGACACCUCUGUGUGUGAGAGCCUGUUUGUAGUUACAGCUCCAGCUGUUUGUUUACAUGCUCUGUCUCUUGUGCUCCUACAAGACCGUUUGCGCUCUGGAGUUGCCCUCGGCCAGUUGAUACAACACGCUGGUCUCUGUUUUGUUUACAUCUGCAUCCCUGGGAUUACAAACAAGAUUAUAUAGGAUCACACAAGUUGCUAUGUUGUCUCCUCUGGCACACACAGCUAUCUUAAUAUUUCGGUGUAGUGUGUGUGUGUGACUUGUUAAUAUCUUCAAAUCUUGUUCCGUGCAAGUUUGAGAUGAUAGUGGAACACGAGUUUCUUCUUAUGAGUGUAAAUUGGGUCCCGAUUUAAUUGGAUAGGAAUCUUCAAACUUGUCAUAGCGUAGCUUGAGGUUCAAAAAUACACACAUGGGAGUCAAACUUUUAUUUUUGGGCCGCUGCUCAGACUCGUGUCAAAGUUUGCGUGGGCCUUCUGAUGAUGAGUUUGUCACAGCCAUGAAGUACAAUCUGCAGCUUGGAAGUGUUUUUGCUCACAGCUCAUUUAGCAUUCUUGGGAGAGCAGCCAGGAGGAGAGAUCUGUGUCGAUAACAUAAAAGGCUGUAUGAAGAGUUUUAAAGCAAACCAACGCAGCUGCAUCGCUCCAUGUUUCCAGCGUGUGUCCUUGCCUGCAGGAAAGAAAACAGAUGCAGUUAUUUCACAAUUGUUGACGUCGUAGCGCCGAUUUCUGUUUAAGUGCAGGAUGGAUUAGAUAAGGGUUUACUGUGUGCUUUUUCUGCUCACCCCUUUCUCAUGUCUCAUUCCACACUCGGAGUCCAAGGCGCUGCUCUUAUUCUGUUGUCAAGACAACCGCACACAUCAGCUCUGCCUGUGUGACCACUUGUCUGUCUGCCUGCCUGCGCCUGUCAGUCUUUUUUUUUUUUAUUUGUCUGCUACUUUUCAAAUAUCCAAGUUCCUCGCAGACUGAGAGCGAUGUUUGGUUGCAGUUUUGGCUGCAGCAUCAGCGUGACGGAUCACAGAGAGGCUGCGUCUGACUGAUAAAAUGGUUAAUUUGGAGGCUUAUGCUGAUGCUGGUAAAAAUAGACUACCCGAGCUUCUAUUUUUCAUAAGUUGAAAAUGUAAGCUCAACAAGCACUUUUUUUUUCCCCCUGACCCUGUUGUUGUCUAAUCAGCGUCUUAUUGUGUCUGAGCCUGGGGUCUGCAGCAUCACACUGUCUCAACAAACAGCACGCUCUCCCCAGCGGCACGGCUCUGCCUCAUAUCCAAUUGGUUUGAUUUUCUCUCCGAAGGAAUACAAGAUGCACACACCCCCCACUGCAGCCUCGUGAAGUGUGGCGGAUAGUGUUUUCACGCAGUGUCGACCCUGCUCUCUUCUCAUUCAUCAGGCUGUGUAUUUGCAUUUUCAAUUAAUGGCCAGCGUCAUGCGCGGCGACUCCGAAAGCAUCCCCAGCUUUGUGUGCGACCCUUAAUUGCAAUCAUUACGCAACGCAAGCAACCCGCCUUUGAGUGUUCAAUUGUACACUGCGUUUAAUUAUGGGAACAGAGUUAAAAGCAUUACUCAACAGUCUAAUAGACCAGAUACUGGAGCGGUUUUCUCUGAAAAUGAAUGAAAUGAUGGUUGAAUGCUGAACGCUUAAUUACUCACCGUUGUGUUUGCAGAUUUGCUAUGCUGCAAUUCAAAGAGGAAGCAUGUUUAUUGGAAAAACUCAAACAACACAGGUACAAGAACAUUCAAACCUUUCUUUUUAAAGCCUGAGAGUUUAUUGACCUACAUUUGGUGAAUUAAAAACAGGGGUAGCUAUGCAAGGGAACUUUGAAUGACUGAAUGAAUGAAGUUUAUUCAUUAGGAAUAUGUUCAAAAGAGAAAAUUAAGAGAAAAAAUACAGAAUAAUAUUCGAGAAGAAGUGGGAGGAAGUAAAACUUAUCAAGUCCCGCCCUUUCUCCAUCAGCUUUUCUGCAAAAGUGCUUCCAUAUACAGUACACAUGCAUAUUUUUAUACAAAUGAAAACAGUUUAUACAAAGGCUGCAUGAUAUUGGAAAAACUAACAUAGCAAUUUUUUUUCAACCCUGCGAUUCAUAUUGCGAUACUUAAAAAUACAGUAGAUGACCUGAGUAGCACUUUAUGCUGCACUGCUGAAAUCUUGAGGACAGUUAACCUGCACUGAUCUUACCUCUUUUUGUGAAUGUUAGUAGAAUGGCUUCUGUAUGUCUCAGAGAUAUUUUUAGCUUUUAUUGUUCUGGGACGUUAUUGUGGUGACAGAUGAACACAGAACACGUGUUAUGGUCUAAGUCUAAGUCAGAUAAGUGACGUUGCUUUUCUUUUUGGCGACAAGUUUGGUUUUCUCUUGUUCGUUUCUCAAUUUGCAAUCGUUGUUGUUGUUGUCGGUGUUGUGCUGGGAAACGCAUGACAGCCAAGAAUUGCAUGCACCUCGCAAAACGCGCACCGCUUAUAGUAGAGUGGUUCACGAAAAUGUACAAUUUACGAUUGACAAUGUACGAUUCAUAUUUGAUGAGCGAAACAGUGAUGAGUAAUGUUCCGAAAGUAAUUCUCAGUCGGUACGCGUUUCUCGUCACAACACCGGCAGUGCCAGCGACUCACUCCAUGUACGGGGGCGCGGUUUACUUCUCUCUGAUUUUGAUUGACGGCUGGCAGCGUAGUCUGAUUGGCAACUGAGUGAAGAACGAAUGUGAUUGGUGGAAAGCUGCACAGCACAUGCAGAAUCACAUGCAGUGCAUCUCAGUCAGCUACCCUUGAAAUCAAAUGAGUUUAGGCUCUGCAAUGUGACUAUCAUGCACACGUACAUCGCGAUGACGAUGCUCAAACGAUAUAUCCUGCAGCCCUAGUUUAUACACCAUGAUUCAGUGGUCUUUUCAAAAAACAAAAUAAAACAAUAAAAGCCAACAUAAUUCUUAAUUUGGUGCAAUACCUCCAGUUUCAUCCCUCUGCCUACCGAAUAUUAUAUUUUUAUAGAUUUUUUAAAAUUUCAUCAAGUCUGAGCAUCGCUUCAGGUCCAGCUGUAACCUGUUCAAUAUAAGAACACCACAUUGUGAACUGCUAAAACUUUUCAUUGUUGUGCGUAACCUUUGAAUUAUGAAAUUAAAGUUGUGAACCCCAGUCUCGAACUUAGAAAUGUUUUUGGAUCGCCUGUGUUAAGGCACGAUUUUUGGCUCUGGAAAGGAUUUGUGUUGUUCAUGAUUUUUACCAGGUUUGACCUCAGAAACAGUAGAGUGGUGUGUUCUAGAUACCCAGCCUUGUGAAUGAUUCUUACUGCUAUUUUUGUAACAUGAUAACUAAGAGCUGAAAAGUCUGAUGUUUGUUUUGGAAAAAAAAAAAAAAACUUUAAUCUUAUUCAUAUUAAGUGGCACUAAUAAAAUAUUUAAGUAUCUUCAAAUAUAAACACAUCCUGGAUCUCAGUCCAUGCUGAUGCACACACUCACAGGCAUACAGAGAGACACUUAUUUAUUCAUACGCAUGCGGACACACACUCACUUAUAAAUAGAUGUCACUUCUUGCAUGUGAGCGGUUAGGAACAAAAGAGGUGAUGUGAUGCAGGGGGAUGAAAAAAGCAAUUAUUCUGUGCAGGGCUCUGUACCUGGGGUUAGAGCCUCGCCUCUGGAGUAAAUAAGUCACUGCAAGAGUGUGCGCUCACGUCGCACAUCUAAGGAAGGCUUACACACACACACAUACAGACGCAUGCAGACAUACACACACUUGUGCACAUUUUCCCAGGAGCAGGCGCAGGCACACAAAUUCAAUCUUGCAUCUUGCUACAAAUGCAGAACACACACAUGUAUGCUCUUUCCCACACACACACACACACACACACACACACACACACACACACACUUUCCAUCUUGCAUCCUGUCACAUGAAUAGCCUCUGCUCUCCAGUAAUGAAGCCCUGUGUGUUGCGUUCACGUUUGGCCACUGAGCCAAUAACACUGAAGCUGCAGCAAAGAACCCCCCUCUGCUCUCCUACACCCUUAUACCCCCCUCCACCCCUCACCCUUUCCUCUUUUACUCCUCAUUUUUUUCUCGCCUUGCUCCCACACUCCAACCUUCUAAAGCCUUGAUAAGAAAUGUCCUCUUCUAAGAGAGAGAGAGAGUUUGAGAGAAAGACGGCGUGAAGAGGGAGCAAUUGUGUACUUGUCAGCGAAUAAACGGGAGACUCUGAUAUAAAUCUUAAUGUCCUAUUUAAGGCUUUUCUUCAUCAUGGGCCUGAUUUAUUAGCAGGGCUUCCCCUUCAAUUCAUCAAAAUAAGCUAUGAGCUCACAGUUGUGGCCGGCAGGGCAAAUUAAAGCAAACAACAGUCUGAGGGGGAAGAGGUGAUGGAGAGGAGGGGUUGUCAUAGAGGGAGAUAUACACGCAUAUAUAUUCACAUGUCCCCUACUCUUUCUUUGCCUCUUUCUGUCUCCAUUACUCUUUGAAUGGCAGUGAGGCCAGCUGUAGUGGAGGCCUGGGGUCUUUAUCCAGGACAGAGACAGACAGAGACAGAAGAGGAAAGAGACAGAUGACACUUCUAAGACACCAGGGAGUGCUUUGUGUAAAAGCUGGAUAAAUUUGUUUAGGGAUCUUCGGUGUAGCGGUUGGAAAGUAGAGGGAUCUGAAAUCCACUCAAUUAGUCUUGUGUGUGCACUGCUGAGGAGAGUGUAUGUGUGAAAGCAGGGGAGGGAAUUCAUUUAAAUUGAUGUGUGUGCAGGUGAGUGUCAAUUUAUUCUAUCUCAAAGGUGGUCGUGUAUUUAGUUUGUACACUAUGCUCACAUACGGCGUGUUUAAAUUAGACAGCGAGAUUUAAAAAAAAGAGAAACCUCGGUGUGUUUUCAUUCCCACAACAUUAACAAUUUGUCACAUUUGUAGUUAAUUCUUGUCAUCGUGUUUGGAUCUGUUAUUUCAAUUCCCAGAGAUUACAUAUUCAAUAAAGGAGUAGUUUAUUUCUUUAGGUGUAGUUGAUGGUGAAACUUGUCAAAAGUAAGUGUAAAAUCACAGGAUAUACGAAUGAGUUUUGCCCUUUUGUUGCACACAGAGGCAGAGUCACACUUAAAUAGUUUAGAAAUAUGUGCAGCUUCACCAAGAUCAGUGUCUAGGUAAGAAUCUCUUACAUUUAGAGUUGACCCCAUCUGCAGUAGUCAGUGGUCUAACUUUUGCUUGUUCUCCAGCAGAAAGGGCCAAGCUCCUCUGUGGGUAAUGAACUUACUAUUGACAAGUACCUCUUACAACGCUGCAUCAAAAACACUAAUCUAUCCAUUAAAGGAAAGGGUGAUAUCAUUGGAUACUCUUUGGGUUAGGGCUGGGCGAUAAACUGAAAAUUUACUGAUACUGAAAUUUACGACAAUAACUGACGUCAUUUUGCUCAUGUCAUUAUAUUUGGUGUCAAAGAAACAAACAAAUAAAAGUUGGUUUUGGAUGUGUGUAGGUAGGCUAUGGUCUCAUGUCCCUUUAAGAUGCUGUCCGACGUCAGGGACGUGAUUCCACCCCAUCCAGUCCGUAAAGAGGGAAAGACAGGUGAGGAGAUGGAGGACGGUUCAAAAGUUGUAGCGACUGGAGCGGCAGCUGAAGUAGACAAAGUUAAUAUGGGAGGGGGGUAGCGGCUUGUGGAGUAAUUAUCAUCCAUUUAUCGUUAUCAAGGUGAACUGCUCUAUAUAUUGUGAUAUUGAUUUUAGGCCAUAUUGCCCAGCCCUACUUUGGGUGCAUAAUCAAAUCAACCAUGACUUACAAAUACAUGUUCCAAGCUCAUUCAGAUCAGAACCAUUUGGACAUGUGCAGAGUUGUCUAAUUUUGCUAAAACAACCAGAGAAGAAGAAGAGUUGUAUUUACAACUGUGCUUUCAACAAACCAACAAAUGCAGUAGUAGCUCACUUCAUCCGAUUCAGGAUUUUUCCCUCCACUCAGAAUGGACCUGAGCCAGGUUCUGAGAGCGGUUGUAUUACUCCUCGCCUGUGUUACAUGAGGAGACUGUGUCCAGCAAGAAAGUUGUGUCAGAAACGGACCGAUUGCUCUUGAAUCCGGCCAUGUUUACAUCUAGUCACUAAUGGUGGAAAUGCGUCAUGUUGACGUAGGUUACACACGUGCAGUCAGGUUAGUUUUGCCCCAACACACAGUCAUGAUGGGAAUAAGUGUUUACAUGGACGUGUUUCAGAAAAAGUAAUCGGUAUAAACCACCCCUCUCCAUCGCAAUGCAAUUUCUUUCAGAUUGAGCUGAAUCGGAUCAGAAUCUUUUGAUCAACAUGUUUACAUGACGCAAUUUUUAUUCCGAUCAGGCCUUUAUUCCGAUUAUUCGUGCCCAUGUAAAAGCAGCUAAUGUUGUGUCAUUUAUGUCUUUGAGCACCAGUUAAAAAUGCUCAUGUACUUUGUUUUGGGAUGCAUUCUCGGCCAUUUUCUUUGGUGGAUGUAUUGCAUGUGCAGCUUUUUUUUCAUUAUGUCUAUAUACAGACUAGAGCUUGAGCUCCAGGGAAAUUUACCCCCCUUACAUCUACUAAAACCAGAAUGACACCCCUUUCAAAGCAGAUCGAUACGCCGUAGAUCCAGACAUUUCCUCUGAGGAGGCCUGUCUUUUUCUGUAGGUGUACAUGUGAGAGUGUUUGUCAAGGAACUUCACACCCGACAACUGGGAUCAAAUAACAAGAAUUAAAAGGUUGUAACAAAUGAAGUAAAAGGAGACUUGGGGAUGAGAGACGGCUGCAGAGAGGAAGGAGAAAGAGAGACUGAAAAAUGGAUAAAGGAGCAGCAGAUUUGUCUCUUUUUGGAGUUUGUUGUGUAGCAAGUACAGACACACUUUCUCUGAUAUCCUUGAGGGUUUUAUCCUGCAGCCACUUGCAACAACUAUUGUAGUUGUGAGAAAACAAAACAUUCAUAGGGUUUAAACUAUACUUAAUGUCAUUCUGAUGAGAUCCCAGCAACAAAAUAGCAUUUUAAAAAUAAAUUCAAAUUAUAUUUACAUCAUUUUAAACUCUGAUAUUUAUGAGAUGGUCAAGGGAUUCGGUGCUAAUUGCUUGUGAGAUAUCAGGAGUAAAAUGCCCCAUGGCAAUAAAGAGAGUCAAAAUAUUAUACUUAAGCAAACAAGCUUGAAGGCAGACAUGUGACAAAAAUUUCUAAAUGAACUUAUUCAUGACUGGAAACAAAAAAGAGACUGAUAAAUAUUCAAGUAAUUCAAAAUCACAUUAUCAACAAAAGUGCAGAAUAUGCAAUAAGCAGAGGGAAUAUGUACACCACAGAGACAAAAACAAACUGGUACAAAUGUGAACUCAGCAUGUGUGUUACCUUAGGCUGGCUAAAAUUCUCUUGACAAACCCCAACACAUCCUCCAUGAAAUUAUGUUAAACUCUAAUUCACAUCAUUUCAGUAAGAAAAAUUGAAUAAUAGCAUGUCAACAACACUUUAAGAACAUAGAAAAGCUGGUAGCAGGAGUGCCAAAUUUUUUUUCCACAUUUCCCAGCCUCUGCCAGAAUUACUGAAUACAUUUGGUCAAGUUGGAUGGGGGUAUCGGAUUAUAUCUUCUCUAUUUAUUUUAUUUCAAAUAUUUGUAAAGUCUUGUAUCACAUCCCUGAUAUGGAUCUUGUAGUAUCCAUCACCUUUAAUGUUCCUCCUUCUGGGACGGUUGUGAUUUCAUCAGCCGUGAUUUCCCCAUGGAUGAGACGCAGCAUCGACUUAACCAAGCGGUCAAUCAGCCAUGAGCUGACUGAUCACCAUCCAAUGGUGAGAGGCCAGAUGAGGUCAUCGUCCUUGUGACUCCUGUCACCCUUGACCCUGCACUUUUGACCUCUAGGUCCGGUCUGGCGGGAGUCUGGCGUGGGGACGCCCGGCAAAUCAAUCGCAAGGAGGGGUUGUAAUAAAACAAGUGCUCCCAAGGGGGAAACCCAAACAAACCAGCAGUGUCCAGAACGGCAAGACAGCCUGUCAAUCAACCACUUUAGGCUGUUAUAGUGUCAUUCAUUUUACAAGCUUGUUUGUUUCAGUGAGCUGUGACAGGAACUAGAUUUGAACAGAGUCAAACAAUUAUGUGGUGGUAAUGACCUGACGCGUUUCUCCCACCGACUGUCUGAUCCUGAGACUGUGUCUUUAAUGAAUAAUCUUUGUUACGACUUGACAAAAAUGUUUGCUGAUCAUACCAAAAGCUUUAGAAUUAAACUGUGAUUAUAAACAUGGAGGAUUUAUUCAUGAUUUUCCAUCAGUAGCCAAAGGCACAGGUUUAACUUAUAAAAUCAAGGUGGUUACACCAAAGUCUGGACAAAGGUGCAAUUACGCAUAUUCAUGUAAUCUAAUGUUGCGUUCCAGUUGUACUCGGAAGUUGGACUUUCCAAGCUUUGAGUCUGAAAUUCAUCUGGAAUGCCCCCCUGAAGUCAGAUAUCCGACUCGGAAAGUCAGAUGAUCCUCACCAACCCCGACUUGACGACAACGCCAUAAUCCAAGAUGGCAGCGCAGUGCAUUAACAGUAAAGAGUAACAGUGAAAGCUCUUGUUUUAGUGAAAUUAAAUAAGUGGUAUAUGUUGGACCGCCCAACGUCUAACUGUGAACACGGUGCUAUGGUGUUUGUAAGAAUAAAAUACUGUAAUGUGUGUUGUUUACAACUGGUAUAGCUAACAACAGCUGACAAUUGUAAACAACAGAUAACAACGGCUAACAGUAGGCAUCCAUCUUAGUUUUCCGCCUUGUUUACUGGAAUGCCGUCAACUCGGGUGUAGCGUCAUUCCCAGCGCCGACAUCUGACUUUCGAGAUAACUGGAACGCAGCAUAAAAACAACAAACCAUGCUUAAACCGCCCAUGGUGAGUUUCUGCAAAAAGCCAAAAGUGCCAACACACUACAAAAGCCACAGUUAUAUGUUUUAUAACAGCUUUGCUACAAUGAAAGUUUUUGCAUUUAUUUGUACCUUUGCUGUACUCAUCUUUCAUUCUUAAGUUGAGUACUUCCAGCACAUCAAGCCUCUAAAUCACCAGCCCGACUCUUCUCUUCUGUUGUCCUUAAAUGGUGGAAUAAAUUAUCCAACUCCAUUCGAACAACAGAGUCCCUUUCUACUUUCAAAAGACAGAUAAAGACUCAGCUCUUAAGAAAACACUCUGCACUUAGCUAGAUGAGUCUCCGCUGUUGUCCCCGGUGGUUGAAUGAGUCUUCCAACUACAAUUGGCUCGCACUGUCCUGCUCUGCUCCUGGGAUGCUUGCUUGCAGACAGGAACGAGGGUGGUUUGUUGAUUUGACAGACAUUUCAUGCUGCAUUGUUGACUCAACUUUACACAAGUUUCACCAAAGGACAAGCAGGAUAAAGUCCAGGUUAGGGCUGGGCGAUAAACCAAAAAUGUACAGAUACCGAAAUUUACGAAAAAACCAACAUCCUUUUGCCUGUAUCGGUACAUUUGGUGUCAAAAGAAUAAAAAAAUAAAAGUUGGUUUUGGAUGUGUGUAUGUAGGCAAUGGUCUCAUGUCUUUUGAAGACGCUGUCUUAUGUCAGGGACGUGACUCCUACCCAUCCAGUCUGUAACAAAGAGGGAAAGACAGGUGAGGAGAUGGAGGACGGUUUAAAAGUUGUAGCGGCUGAAGUAGACGAAGUUAAUGUGGGAGGGGGUGAGCAGCUUGUGGAGUAGUUAUCGUCCAUUUGAGGUGAACUGCUCAAUAUAUUGUGAUAUUGAUAUGAGGCCAUAUCGCCCAGCCCUAACGUACAUGUCCUAUUGUGAGACCCUGUGAUUUCCAAGAAAAGGGAAACACAAACAGUAUGGUAGUAUUUGACAAUCAAAAUUAAAUCAAUGAUAAAACACAGAAUAUUGGAGGGUUUGAUAGAAUGUGAAUGUGCUUUUUAAAAAAAAUCUGGGCUUUCCUCGCCCGGCCCUAGUCCAGGUUGUAGGGGUAAAAAUUUGGGCCAUUCACAUAGACGCUUUUGGCUUUUUUUUUAAGUUUUGUUUUAAGAAUCAUGAAUUCAAAAAAGUGACUCGGAGGGUAACUAGGGGCCAUGAAAGUCUGAAUCUGAUUUCUGAAAAUGAAAGUGAUGGGGUAGGAUUGUGAUAUCAACAUUUAGUUGAACACAGCUCUUCUAUAAUUUGUAUCCAUAUUGUAUUUGGCUUGAUGCCCUUGUGUACACUUGACAGAUGCAUGAGUGGUUCAACACAUGGAAUUGUGUUUAGGGACUGACUACCAGACUGAAACUGUACGCUCGGCUUACAACGGCAAAUCACAGCAGACUUUUUCCCCCUGCAUGCUCCCCUCUCCUAUCAGACAACUGUUUCCAGGCAGAUUUAGUUUCACACGGCCAGUCUCUCUGUUCCUCACUCCAGUCUUUCGUUUUAACUAAAAAAAAAAAAAAAAAGAAAGAAAAAAAACGGUCCAGCCUUUUCUCUUUUCUCCCCAUCUCUCCUGAUCAAACCUGGGGUCCAACCUUCCAGCCCAUCUUCUUUUUCUAUCUGACCAUCUCUCCAUUCAUCUUUCUUUUAUCUCUGUCUCAUCCAGGUCUCUGGUGGGAGCAGAGAGGUGACAGGCGUGUGUCUGCCUGGCCCUGCUGUCUGCUUUUCUAAUGAGCCUGAAACACGGGGGGUCAGCCUAUUAUGGAGAUGAGGUGAUUCUGACGGGCCAAAAGGUGAUGGACCUCGCUAAUAGGGGCCCUUUCUGUUCCCUUUUCCCCUCCUUCCCACCUUUCCUCUCAUUUUCCUCUCCUCCUUGCUCGAGCUCAUUCCUCCUCCCUUUCCUCCAUCUUCAAGUUUAUUCUAUCCUGCGAGGUCUAACGAAGGGUCUUGUAUGCUAAACAGGAGCUGUGGCCUCCUGCUCGUCCUUUUCUUCCCCCUCCUCAUUUUUUCCCCUUCUCUCUUCAUCUUUUCAUCCUGGGGUUGUUUGAAGUUUCUCCCCCUCGUCGACCGCUCGGUUCAAUCAUCUCUCUCGGCCCAGGGCCACCUCUGUUUGUCUGCUCAGCCACUGUGGGGUCUCUUUUUGUAGUCAGGCCCUGUGCUGAAGCCCUCUACUGAUUCCUUCAGCAGAACAGCAUGUGUACGUGUGGUUGUGUGUGUGUGUGUGUCUGCAUGUAUGUUUUUGUGUUUGUGUGAAGUGAAUUUCUCCAGCCUCUCUUCAAUCACAUGCAGCCCUUCUUCCUCCUUCUCUGUGGCCGGGCCUGAGUCUGCCGGGUUGGCUUUGAAAUGCAGCCAAAGCUCCGCCACAGAAGAGCGAAAAAAGCCCAGAAAACAGGGUUUGUAAGUGUGUGUUUUUGAAGCACACAUAUGCACACACAACUACGGGAGAGCACUCUUUGUAUC
This 58703-nucleotide long non-coding RNA is filed under the name Xyrichtys novacula (pearly razorfish). Lineage: Eukaryota; Metazoa; Chordata; Actinopteri; Labriformes; Labridae. The record is from RNAcentral.